UAUGGAUCCUUAUUGGUUGAGACCACACGUAAAAAUGACAUUGCCAGAAAUUGACAAGGUAAUAUUUCCAUUUAUUCAUUAGAAGAGGCGCCCCUUUUGAAGCUAGAAUGGAUUUUCCUUGAUACCUAACAUAUGCAUGAAAGGAUUCUUGAACAACUAUAAGAUUGUCUGAAAAUCAUUAGCAAAGACUUCAACAAAAUGCUCUAUUUUUCCAUAGAAAAAUAUUGGCCCAAGAAAGGCUCCAUAAGAUGUUGAUCGUAAAUGAUAAGAUUGAUUGCAGAUAAAAAUGAAGAUAGAGUCGUAUUCACAUACAUGAAAAUUAUAUAGGAAAUAUCAAGAUUCUGAUGGUAAUAAACUUUUUGGAAGAACAAGCCUGGCAACUAAGGUCCCAUGUAUGUCAUCUGCAUUACAACUUCCCAAUAAGGCAGUUUUAUGGCAUUUCAGGUUAGGUCAUCUUACACAUAAAAUAGUUAAUAAAGUUUUGAGUGCUUGUAGCUUGCCCCCAAUACAUUGGACAAGUGUUUGUGAACCUUGUCAAAUGGCAAAAAGUCAUUGCUUACCUUUUAUUUUGUCUAAAUCCAGAGUCUCUCAGCCUUUUGCUCUUGUACAUUCUAAUCUAUGGGGUCUUGCCCCUAUUGUUGGUGCUAAUGGUGCAAGAUACUUUGUACCCUUUAUGGACGACCAUACAAGAUUUUCUUGGUUGUAUCUACUAGCUUCUAAAGAUCAAGCUAUCUCUAUUUUUUUUUUUGCAAUUUAAAGUGAUGAUUGAGACUCAAUUUGAUACUAAAGUUAGAGGGCUUCAAACUGAUUGGGGAGGGGAGUUUCAAGCCUUUACUAAUACUUUAUGUAAAUUUGUGAUUCUACAUAAAGUAUCUUGUUUGUCUACUUCUCAACAAAAUGGUCGUGUGGAGAGAAAACGUAGACAUGUGGUUGAAAUAGGUCUUUCAUUGCUUGCUCAUGCUUCUAUUCCACUUAAAUAUUGGUAUUUUGCCUUACAAUCUGCCUUAUAUUUGAUUAAUAGGCUUCCUUCCUCUAUGCUAAACUUUUCUUCUCCAUAUAAAACUCUUUACCAUUGUCUACCAAAUUAUUAUUUUCUUCAUGUCUAUGGUUGCACUCGUUAUCCUUUUCCACAUCCUUUUAAUAGUCAUAAAUUUGCAUAUCGAUCCGUUAAAUGCACCUUUAUUGGCUAUAGUUCUAAGCAUAAAGGAUAUCUCAGAUUAAACAUGUCCACUGGUAAAAUACAUAUAUCAUGACAUGUUAUUUUUGAUGAAUUAGAUUUCCCAUUUGCUAAGCCUUCUACAAUUCAGCCUCCUUGUUUUGUUUCCCCCUCUCAUUGUGCCAUUCCCUUAGCAGUACCAUCCUUUUCAAUAUCUUCCCUCUUGCCUCCCCCAUCUAGUCCUCCUUCAGAGUUGGUUCUAGUCUUUGAUGCUAGUGUGUCAAUUUCCUCUUCUGAGGUUGCACUUAUUCCAACAGCUCAACCUCCUUUCUCUCACGUUCCUACUCCUUGUCAUUUUAUGACAACGCGUGCCAAAAAUGGCAUUUUCAAACCUAAGAUAUUUCUAUCCCCUACUGAGACUAUUUUUCCUCCACCUUGUGAACCGAAUUCCUUCAAGGAAGUUGCUAAAGUUCCUAAAUGGCAGCAAGCUAUGCAUCUUGAAUUUGAAGCUCUUAUAAAGAAUAAAACAUGGGUCUUGGUUCCUCCUUUAUCUAAUUAGAAUAUCAUUGGAUGUCGUUGGGUUUAUAAAUUGAAGUUUAAACCUGGUAGAACUAUUGAACGUUACAAAGCACAUUUGGUGGCGAAAGGAUUUCAUCAAACUCCCGAUUUUGAUUACUUUGAAACCUUCAGUUCCGUGGUUAAACCUACUAUUAUUCAUGUAGUUUUCUCGCAUUAAGUAAAAACUAGUCUAUCAGACAACUUGAUGUUCUUAAUGCCUUUCUUAAUGGUGAUUUAUCUUAGCAAGGUUUUAUGACACAACCCCCAGGUUUUGUGGAUCCUUCUAAGCCCAACUUUGUUUGUAAACUUACCAAGGCAUUGUAUGGUUUGAAGCAAGCUCCACGGGCUUGGUUCACCAAACUUAAUUCCGUCUUAGUUAAAUGGGGGUUUUUCCAUUUCUCAAGUAGAUAUGUCAAUGUUUGUUUACUGUAACAAUUCUGCCAUGCUUGUUGUCUUGGUUUAUGUCGAUGAUAUUAUUGUCACUAGAUCAAAUUCCUUGCUCAUUGAACAACUUAUAUCCUCCUUAAAAUCUUGCUUUGCUCUCAAGGAUCUUGGUGCUCUUAACUUCUUUCUUGGAAUAGAGGUAUUCAAUUCUAGAUCUUCUUUGCAUUUAAGUCAAGCUAGAUAUAUUUGUGAUCUCCUUCAGCAUGCUAGUUUGUCUAAAUCAAAGUCCAAGACUUUCCCAAUGGUUGUUAGUCCCUGUUCUCUCCAUAGCUGAUGGUACUAGAUUAGAAGAUCCCACCUUGUAUCAGAGUCUUGUGGGUGCUCUUUAGUAUUGCACAAUUACUAGACCAGACAUUGCUUAUACUGUUAAUAAGCUUUGCCAAUUUAUGCAUGCUCCAACCUCUACUCAUCUUCAAGUUGUAAAGCGUGUUCUUCGUUAUCUCAAAGGUUCAUUGUUUUAUGGGCUUUCUUUCCAACUAUCUUUCUCCCUCGAUCUCAUUGCCUAUACAGAUGUUGAUUGGGCAUCUUGCCCUAAUGAUAGAUGUAGCACCAGUGGCUACUGUAUAUAUUUUGGUGGCAAUCUGGUCUCUUGGUCAACUUCUAAACAAAAGGUGGUUUCUCGCUCUAGUACCGAAUCCGAGUAUAAGGGCUUGGCCAACGCAGCAGCUAAACUCACUUGGAUCCAAUCCCUACUUAAAGAACUCUUUGUUUCCCUGUUUCAACCCCCUGUUCUUUACUAUGAUAAUCUCAACACUACUUAUUUGGUUGAAAUCCUGUCCUUCAUUCUCAAGCUAAACAUGUGGAAACUGAUUAUCAUUUUGUUCGUGUACGAGUCUUGUAGGAAACUCUUGAUGUUCCAUCUGAAGACCAAGUUGCUAAUAUCUUGACCAAAGCUCUCUCCACUCAACGUUUCCUCCAUCUUCGGAGCAAGCUCACAGUUAUUUCUCUCCCUAUGUGCUUGAGGGGGGAUGUCAAGUAGAGUUGUUUAAGUAGUUAACAGGUUGUUUGUUGUUUGUAACUAAUUAGAAAGUUGUUAGUCAUUUGUAACUAAUCUCUGAAUUUUUGUAUAUAAGAGACAAAGCACUUAUAAGUGGUGCAAUUUGUUGCUUAAUUUUAGUUUUCAUCUCUCUUGUUUUCUCUCAAACAGGUGCUCUGCAUAUCUUCUUUUCAUAUCUUAGAGCUCUUUCUCCAUCUUCAGCAACUCAACCUUGCUCUUCAAAUCUGAUAAUCUGAUCACAUCUUCAAUCCCUCGUUAAUUUCUUCAUUCAACUCCUCUACCUUCGAUUGGAAGCCUGGGACGGGAGUCUCCUGAAGGAGGUCCAUUUUGCUUUUGAUUCCACACUUGAACAUCCAAACCCAUGGACUUGAGAACCUGAGCCAUUUCAAACUCAAUCUCCUUUUUCACUUUUACAGUUUUCUCCUUCAGCGCAUCGUCCAAAUUCCCAAUGGUAGGCAUCUCAGAGUUAUUAAUUUCAACUUUUAAUGCCUCAAUCUUUUCCUUUAUAUCAGCACGAUCCUUAAACUCUUUGAAUCUCUUGUUGAUUUCUUGUUUCGAAGUGGUUGCCUUGUUUCUUUCUAUCUCGGAAGUCCUAAGAUCCAUGAGAUUCUUCUUAUCAUCCUUUGUCCACUCAACAGCCUUAUACCCAUAUCCAUGUCCUUCUUCAUCUUCAUCUUCAUCUUCAUCUUCUGCUUCUCCUACACUUUCAGUUUCCAACUCACUACCACCACCAUCUUUAAGCUUGUGACAACGAUCAUCAAAAUCCAUCAUCCAAUUCAGAAAAAUGCCGCUCAUCAAGCCUCUAGACUUCUUCUGCAUCAUGCCCACUGACAGAGAAGUUGUCUUCUCCAUCCGGACUACAACAGUUUUCUUCUCGACACUCUUGAUGUCACUAACAGCAAUAAUUUAAUGCAUGUUCUGAAUGACAAAACACCCAAAUGGAGGAUAUUUGGAGAAAGUCUCCACUACCGUGGGUUUGAUGAGUGUUAAAGUAUAUUAUGUUAUGGGCUCUAGGCCCAGUUAGGUUACUUGUAUAGUACUUGUACUGCACACUUGUACCGCACAGUACUUGUACCGCACACUUGUACCGCACCUUUGUACUGCACCCUUGUACUGCACACAUAUGCCUCCUAUAUAAAGGCACUGAUGUAUACUCUUUAAAUCACAGAAUAGAAUACAAUUAUUCUAUAUUUCUAACAUGGUAUCAGAGCCAUUGCUCUGACCUUUUUCUUAGCAGUCUUGUCUUCAUUAGCGUGACUUCCUUCUUUCACUAAACGCUUCCGCCAUCACAACUGCUGCUGUAGCCUCUUUCCGUUGAACCUCCGACAUCAUCCAGUCGUCGUCCUUGGGUUUCGGACCUGCAGCCGCCGUCGUUAAGAAGUUCCACACUGCACAGACCAUUGCCCUUUGCAUCACCGCUGCGAAUAUUGCUCCGAUUUCAUUUUUGAAGGUACCACUGAGAUCGUCCAGCGCCGAUCUACACAUUCGUGGAUAUCUCGCCACCAUCGGAGACCGCACACACCUCCACGCGCCUCCAUGCACUGCCAUGUCAGCCCUAGCUGCGUCAGCAUCCACUGAUCUGCUGACGUCAUCUUCAGUCGUUGACCGUUGACCAGUCGUUGACCUUUGACCAGCCGUUGACCGUUGACUUUGACCGUUGACCAUUGACUUUGACCGUUGACUUCCCAUUUAACUUUUUCCCGACCAGGUUCUCCUUACCCAGUUUUUCGUGUAGAUUUCAUUUCUGCAGUCGGUUUUUGCAUAUUGUGUCCCUAAAUGGAUAAGAAGGAUGUUUUUCUUCCUCGUCCCAUCCAUACUGUAUUGGAGGGGACUAAAAAUUACUUAUCCUGGUCUCAAGCUAUGCGCAGUUUUCUUAAGAGCCGCAUGCUCUGACAUUAUUGUACUGGUGCAAUGACUAUUCUUGUCAAGGGAGCAAGUGAAGAAGAUGCUGCCUUUCUUAGUCGCAUGAUUGAAUGGGAUAGUCAUAACCACAUGAUCCUCACAUGGAUUCGGAACACUUCCAUUCCCUCUAUUUCCAAUCUAUUGGGCAGCUUUGACGAUGCAAAAUCUGCAUGGGAUAUGUUGACCAAAAGGUACUCCACUACUCAUGGAUCCAUGAAAUAUCAGUUAGUGGUUGAAUUGCAUCAACUCAGGCAAGAACCGGGGCAAUCCAUCAAUGACUAUUAUGAACAGCUUCGCUUCAUUUGGGACCAAAUUGACCUUUCUGAUCCAACUUGGGCAUGCUCAAAAGAUGCUCAGCAAUAUGCUUCCAUCAGAGAUGAAUUUCGCCUCUAUGAAUUCUUGAUGUCACUUCACAAGGACUUUGAGCCCAUUUGUGGUCAGCUGCUAAAUCGCAGUCUUGCUCCCUCUCUUGAUAUUGCUGUGAAUGAGUUGGUUAGAGAAGAAGCUCGUCUUGCAACCCUUCAAGCCCAGAAUAAGCUCAAUAUUUUGGCUAUUACUCCAUCUACUCCACUCAUAGAGCAACCUCAGCAAUUAGGUGAUUUUUCUGGCUCUAGCAAUCGUCGCAAGCAAACCAACAAGAAGUUCUGCAACUAUUGCAAGCGUCCUGGCCACACCAUUGAGACUUGUUACCGUCGUAACAAAUCUACUGUUGCUGUUGCUAAUACUGAACCUACUCCGCCAACGGUUUCCACGUCCCAGUCUUCUGGAUCUACUAUCAACCUCUCCUCCACUGAACUACAGGAGAUCAUAGCUCAGGUUGUUCGUAUGGCUGGUAAUGCAUCUCUUUCCACUGCCUUAUCUGUUCUACCUGGUAAGUCUCAAACUUGGCUCUUUGAUUCUGUCUGCUGCAAUCACAUGACACCUCACUCAUCCAUGUUCUCCAAACUUGACCCUGCACCACAUCCUCUAAAUAUUCAUAUAGCCGAUGGUUCCACCAUGCAUGGAAAUAGUCUAGGUUUUGUUUCAACCUCUACUCUUUCUGUUCCUGGAGUCUUCCACGUACCUGCCCUAUCCUAUAAUUUGUGCUAUGUGGGACAAUUAGCUGAACUAGGUUAUCGCCUUAUUUUUUACUAUUCUGGGUGUAUUGUGCAGGAUCCGAGGAUGGGGCAGGAGCUUGGGACCGGUCCUAGAGUUGGGCGUAUGUUUCCUGUGAACAAUCUUCAUCUUCCACCUGUUGCUCCUGUUUUUGUUGUUGCUGCAACAGCUGCAGUUUCUUCCUUACCUUCUCUUGCACUUUGGCAUUCUCGUCUUGGUUAUGCACCAUCUUCUCGGGUACAACAGUUAGUGUCUAGAGGUCUGUUGGGUUCUGUGUCUAAAGACAAUUUUGAUUGCACUUCAUGUCAGUUAGGAAAACAGCCAGCUUUGCCUUUUAAUAACAGUGAAUCCAUUUCUAAAAGUAUUUUUGAGUUAAUUCAUUCUGAUGUUUGGGGACCUUCUCCUGUUGCUAGUAUUGGUGGAUCUCGAUAUUUUGUUGUUUUUAUUGAUGAUUAUUCUCGUUAUAGUUGGAUUUUUCCUAUGAAAUCUCGUUCCGAAAUUUUAUCAAUAUAUAGCAACUUUGCAAAAAUGGUUGACACUCAAUUCUCCAAACGUAUCAAAACCUUUCGAUCUGAUAAUGCUCUUGAAUACACUCAACAUGCAUUNNNNNNNNNNNNNNNNNNNNNNNNNNNNNNNNNNNNNNNNNNNNNNNNNNNNNNNNNNNNNNNNNNNNNNNNNNNNNNNNNNNNNNNNNNNNNNNNNNNNNNNNNNNNNNNNNNNNNNNNNNNNNNNNNNNNNNNNNNNNNNNNNNNNNNNNNNNNNNNNNNNNNNNNNNNNNNNNNNNNNNNNNNNNNNNNNNNNNNNNNNNNNNNNNNNNNNNNNNNNNNNNNNNNNNNNNNNNNNNNNNNNNNNNNNNNNNNNNNNNNNNNNNNNNNNNNNNNNNNNNNNNNNNNNNNNNNNNNNNNNNNNNNNNNNNNNNNNNNNNNNNNNNNNNNNNNNNNNNNNNNNNNNNNNNNNNNNNNNNNNNNNNNNNNNNNNNNNNNNNNNNNNNNNNNNNNNNNNNNNNNNNNNNNNNNNNNNNNNNNNNNNNNNNNNNNNNNNNNNNNNNNNNNNNNNNNNNNNNNNNNNNNNNNNNNNNNNNNNNNNNNNNNNNNNNNNNNNNNNNNNNNNNNNNNNNNNNNNNNNNNNNNNNNNNNNNNNNNNNNNNNNNNNNNNNNNNNNNNNNNNNNNNNNNNNNNNNNNNNNNNNNNNNNNNNNNNNNNNNNNNNNNNNNNNNNNNNNNNNNNNNNNNNNNNNNNNNNNNNNNNNNNNNNNNNNNNNNNNNNNNNNNNNNNNNNNNNNNNNNNNNNNNNNNNNNNNNNNNNNNNNNNNNNNNNNNNNNNNNNNNNNNNNNNNNNNNNNNNNNNNNNNNNNNNNNNNNNNNNNNNNNNNNNNNNNNNNNNNNNNNNNNNNNNNNNNNNNNNNNNNNNNNNNNNNNNNNNNNNNNNNNNNNNNNNNNNNNNNNNNNNNNNNNNNNNNNNNNNNNNNNNNNNNNNNNNNNNNNNNNNNNNNNNNNNNNNNNNNNNNNNNNNNNNNNNNNNNNNNNNNNNNNNNNNNNNNNNNNNNNNNNNNNNNNNNNNNNNNNNNNNNNNNNNNNNNNNNNNNNNNNNNNNNNNNNNNNNNNNNNNNNNNNNNNNNNNNNNNNNNNNNNNNNNNNNNNNNNNNNNNNNNNNNNNNNNNNNNNNNNNNNNNNNNNNNNNNNNNNNNNNNNNNNNNNNNNNNNUGAUGACCUUAGUGGCAUUCAAGAACUCAAGGAUUUUCUCAGUCAGCAGUUUGAGAUGAAAGAUCUUGGACAUCUCAGCUAUUUCUUGGGUCUUGAAAUUACUCAUUCCACAGAUGGUCUUUAUAUUACUCAAGCCAAGUAUGCUUCUGACCUGUUGUCUCAAGCUGGACUCACUGACAGCAAAACUGUUGACACUCCAGUUGAACUUAAUGCGCAUCUGACACCCUCGGGGGGGAAACCAUUGUCUAAUCCUUCUCUUUACAGACGAUUGGUUGGCAGCUUAGUUUACCUCACAAUUACUCGUCUAGACAUCUCUUAUGCUGUUCAUCAGGUAAGCCAGUAUUUGUCUGCUCCACGAUCAACUCACUAUGCUGUUGUUCUGCGCAUUCUUCGAUACCUGAAGGGUACCCUUUUUCAUGGCCUUUUCUACUCAGCUCAGUCUCCUCUUGUACUCCGUGCAUUCUCAGAUGUUGAUUGGGCAGGAGAUCCUACUGAUCGCAGGUCCACUACAGGUUAUUGCUUCCUCCUUGGUUCUUCUUUGAUUUCUUGGCGAAGUAAGAAACAAACUUUUGUGGCCCGCUCCAGUACUGAAGCAGAAUAUCGUGCCCUUGCUGAUACCACAUCUGAGCUCCUUUGGCUAAGAUGGCUUCUUAAGGAUUUGGGUGUAUCCACCUCCUCUGCUACUCCUCUUUAUUGUGACAACCAGAGUGCUAUUCAUAUUGCUCACAAUGAUGCCUUUCAUGAACGGACUAAACACAUCGAGAUUGAUUGUCAUUUUAUCCGUUAUCAUCUUGUCCAUGGUGCUCUUAAGCUUUUCUCCGUCUCCUCCAAAGAUCAACUUGCAGAUAUCUUCACCAAGUCUCUUCCUAAGAGACGCACUCGUGAUUUAGUUGACAACCUCAAGUUGGUCUCACAUCCACCUUGAAGUUGAGGGGGGCUGUUAAAGUAUAUUAUGUUAUGGACUCUAGGCCCAGUUAGGUUACUUGUAUAGUACUUGUACUGCACACUUGUACCGCACAGUACUUGUACCGCACACUUGUACCGCACCUUUGUAUUGCACCCUUGUACUGCACACAUAUGCCUCCUAUAUAAAGGCACUGAUGUAUACUCUUUAAAUCACAGAAUAGAAUACAAUUAUUCUAUAUUUCUAACAAUGAGAAUCAUCUUUACAAAUUCAGCAUCAUCAUCUUUCAAAAACUUGGCUCCUUCUCAAGUUCCGGGCCAGAACACCUGUCAACUGGAACAUCCAAGUCUGGGACUUUUUUCCCAAAGCUGAACUGAUUGUACUUCUGACUGAAAGCACGGCCAACUGUGUCAAGAAACAAGCUGCCAACUCCUCCAUGAAAAGAAACCAAGUCCACAGUCCACGGGAGCAACCAUCCUCCUCGGGCUAAGAGAAAAUCUGUGGGUCUUCCUCAACUAAAAAUUCCAGGAAUCAAUUGCAGAAGAACAAGUGACCUCACAAUCAAGACCUCAGACCAGAGCAUAUUAAGGUGACCAUGCAUGGCCAUGCAGAAGAGCACACGUGGAAGUAAUAAGGUGCUUAGGCACUGAUGUUGAAGCUGUCCCAACCUCCAAUAACUUCUAUGGUUUUAAUUCCCCAUUCUUCCAAUCGUGAAUGGCAAGGAUUUCAGUGUCACUAGCAUGAACCCCUGGUAUACUUGUGGCAUCUUUGGAUCCCUUCCGGACUCAUUUCUCCUAUGAUUGCCAUACCCAAUACAUUAGAAAAGGAGCACUCAGCAGUGUCAUCCACGUCAGUCUUCAUGGAAGCCGAACCAAAUUCCAUAUUUUAUUUUGAUAAUGAGAAUUCAGAUUCUUCAAGUUUUCGGAGUUGUAAUUCACUAGCAACUUAGCAGUUAUAAACAUCGAGCUUUUUCGGAAUUGAAGAAGACUUCUGGCUAAUUGGGCCAUAUCCCAAUUCUAAACAAACUAUCAAUUCCACCAUUCUCAAGGAGUUGUUCCGAGUGAUUUUGGGAUACACACCAGAGUUCAUCAUAGUUCUAUUUUGGAAAUUGUGCAGAAUCAAUUCUCAGUCGUGGGCUUUCUGUGCUGGUUCCUACUGUAUGCCAGUAGGCUUGCUUCUCCUUGAAGACGUGGGCUGAUUUCCUGGGACUUGGCUGCAUUAGCAUGAGAUGCAGCUUCUUUCUCUCAUGGACUUCAAUCAAAAGCUUGCACUGUGAUAUGCCAAUUGCCACCACAUCUAAAUAUCAAGGAGUUGUCAUAUUCUAUGAAAUAAUCUCUCACAAAGAUUGGCCCUCCAUCAUGCAAGAAUAAGUCAUUAUUCUACUGAAUCAAGUCAGCAUGCCAAGUGUUAUCACCUGGGCUUACUAAUGAAAUUGCACCAUCUGUAUGUGUCUGUGAGGCCUUUUUAGUUUUUUGAUGAUGUGAUGGAGAUUAGGUGAGUCUAAACUGCUCUCCAGAGAUGAAGCAACAAUCCCAGGAACAUCUUCCUGGCCAACCAUAUGCAGAAAAACAAGGAACCCGAUUAAUGAACUCAAUGUUUUCAUCGUAAUGAAGGCACCACGCCAUCUAGAUGCCCAGAUUUGCUAGCUUGAAAGUCCUCCCAAAGAAUCUACUCCAUGAACAACAAUAGAACUACUGGAUUCUAACAAUGAUUGAUCACUAAAAUCACCUACAGUAGGUGAAGCUUCGGAAAACUCCCCUGGUCGAAGAGGUACUUGCGCUGGCAACUGGGUGAGCAAGUACAAGUGAUCCCAUAAAUUAGUUAUGACAGAGAUUUAUAUGCGUAAUAGUUGGAGAAAUACUGGAUAAAAAAAAAUAAUAAUAAUUUGUUUCUACCAACCAGAAUUCACUAGCAUAUUCCCACUAAAGUUAACAUGAAUGGCACUUGAAAAUUGCAAGAAUUCUUUAUCCACAUGAACAUUGAGCAUACUCCCAUGCAAGUCAAGCAUUUCAAGUUUUGAAAGCAGCUUGAAACCUUUUGGGGAACCUCUUCACCAGUACUAAAUAAAAAUAUAACAGCAUUCUUGAAUCCAUGAGCCCCUUAAGAAAUAUCCCGAGCAAGUUCCAACAUAGCAGUUACCCACGAACUACAGUCACCAGCUCCUUCAAAAACAGUUUGCACCAGAUUUUGCAUGAAAACAAUCCACUUGAACAGCAUCCUCCCAGUUAGCCAUGUUCUUAAUCUUUUUUGCCUCUGUCAAAGCAUACUGGAGUGCGUCAUCAAGAGCAUCAGAACCAAUAGAAUGGAGAUCCAUCUAGAUUGUUAGGAGAAGUUAGGAAUAUCCAUUUCGGCCUCUCUUUCUAAACAACAUCAGCAAUGAGUUCUGUAUUCGGGCUGAAGUUUCAUCAAUUACUGCUGUGAUGGCAGUUGUGACUGCUGCCCUUGUGUUGCCUAGUUAUCUGCUAAGGAAGGAUCAAACCACCACCAGUUAUGAAAGCUUUCAGAUUUGGCCUUUGAAAUGGCUCCAAGAAGCUUCCUACUGAUUCCUGAUCCGUGUAGGCCGAUUUCAAUGGGAAAAGUGUCUGUUCUAUUUGCGUAUCAGACACUUUGUCACCAAGGCCAAGAACUUCUGAGGUAUUUCCCUGUUGUCGCUCUCUUUGCAUGAUACCAUCACUAAUGUUCAAUCCUAUCUUCAAAGUGGCUUUUCUGCUAGUGGGUCCUGCUCUGUUCCAAAACUAUUGCUAACAGAGGAACUUUGAAAAUAUUCUUCUGAUCCAUCAGCACCUUGAAUUCGAAUCUGAUUGUUGGUUUCACAAAUAUCCCUAACAACACUCUUUCCUCUGACUUACCAAGGUUCCUUAAAACACUGAAAACUGCAGAACCACUUUUAAGGUACUCAACUGAUUCAUCAGUAACUUGGACGCGAGUAAUGAUCACAUGAAUUUCUUCCACAUUUUCUCCUUUACAUCUUUCUCGCUCCGAAACUCGUUUGCAACACUCUCUGGUCCAUGAGUCAUCAGGUGCUUUAAGCAGGUUCAGGGAAUUGUAAGAGGCCCUCCAAUUCUUCUUAUCAAAUCUCAACCAUCUACUGUGCAGAAUCUCCACAAUUCUUCCAUAAUCAGGUCGUGAGUAUAAAUUUGCCAUAAUGACACUAUUACCUGUGUUUUCAGGCUCCAUCUCGAACAAAUGAUCAGAAACAAACUUCCCAAGUUCGACAUCACCAGAAACUGAAACCCCAUUGAGCAGUGCACCCUAGAUUUUGGCAUUUGGUUCAACUGACAUAUUAGAAAUGAAUUAUGUUGCUUCUGAGAGCAUUCCAACUCAGCUUACAACUCCUACCAUUCAAACAUAAUGUUCAACAGAGAGCUCAAUGCCAUAUUUUUGAAACAUCUCAUUAAAUACCUUCGAAGCUCUGUUGACCAUCCAGGGAUGGGCACAAGCUGCUAACACUGCAAUGAAAGUGGCAUGAUCAAGCCUAGUUCCAGAUUGAAUUCCCUGUGCUGCUGCUUUCUGAAAGAGAUACUCCUUUGUCUACUUCAACAACCUUCCUGGAGAACUUCUUCUCUAAUUGAUGGGGUUCUGUAUGUUUCCGAUGAAGGGAAUGCACUCUGGAGGAAGAACUCAAGCUUGACACAACAAAGCUGUAGACGAACAUUCCCUGGCAUCAACUUCCAUUUGUGCAGACCCAUAUGAGGACGAUCUCAACUAGUACGAAUAAUUCUGAAUUCCUUCUCCAUAUCUGAUGAAAAUUGGUGACUUAAAGCAAGCUGAAGCAUCUUAUCAUAUAGAUACAGGGCACAAUCUCUCAUACCAAUAGAUGUCUACUGACCAACCUGAGAUUUUCUGUAACACUCCUCAAAUAAUCAGUUUCUGCAUAUUUAAUGAAACAGGUGCAGCUUUCAUGAAAUUUUUUGGAAAAGUUCUCAUGGCGCUUCUCAUCAGAAUCUUUGACCACAAGAAUUUCAAGCAGUGGGGUUCCUGGAGAUGCAAUAACCAGCUGUCUAGGACUGUGAUUCCUGCCAACAAAUCUUCCCACACUAGAAGUUGUAUGAACUGAUUUACUGGAGGGAUCAUGCACCACUUCCACUAAUAUUUGACUUGUCAUCUAAGCAAGAAUGGUUAGAUGAAACCAUGUAUGAUGAUUGCUCACUGAUCUAUUCCAGAAAAAGCAGGCUUUGUCUGAUCAAAAGGAAGCUGUAGCUUGCCCUUGUAGAAAUUUGAAAGUGCACAAGUAACGUUCCUGAGCAUGUACAGCUUUGCACGCUAGUUCAAUUGUGCUAGCAAAGUAAGCAGAGCCCCAUUGCCAAGGACAAGAUCACCGCAUUUGAAAUCUCAUGAUGCCACCAGUAAGCUUGUUGUCCUUUUGAAAUCCAGCGCAGAUCUCUUCAAGAAUUAGACCAAGGGAAACAGUUAUAAAAUAGUACCAGAUUAUCAGUUAAUUUCAACUAUGAUAUAGAUUUUUGAAUUGAACCCGUAAGCGUUUUUGCACUCAGAUCCAGAGAUGUUGUCUUCUUGCAAUUGAAAAGGUCCAAAGGGAUCCACUCGAUUGGUUUCCAAGGUCCUCUCUUGAAACAGAAUCAUUUUCUACAAAAAUCACCAUCCAGGCAAUCGUUGGGCAUUAUGUCAGAAUUUCCAUCACAAAUGAAUUUCUUGGUAGCACCAUUAGUAGUCUCAACACUCAAGCUCACUGAAUCAACUCCUUCACUAGCCUAUUCAAGUGUUCAAUAGCAGCAAGGAAUUCCUCAUAGUCUAUUGUUCCACUGUCGUCAAUCUCAGCUGCAUCCAAUGUUGUGUCAUCCUUGAGAAUCUUUCCAAAUGCAAUCAACUGAUAACAUAGCUCAUAUAGUGUCCACUGAUUCAAUUUGCACAGCCUUGGCCAAAGGCACUUUUGAAUGGACUCCAGCAUAGGGCACAGUUCCAAGAGAUACAACUGAAGCAGCUCUAGUAGUGGUUGGAGAGGGACUCGUCCUAAUCUCUCAGCCACUCGACCAAUAUUUAUGUCCCUGGAAAAGCAAAUGGAUGAAGUGUUAACAGCCUCACAUUUUCCACACUGUGCAUACAUAUCUGCCAGUGCAUUCCCCGAGAACAAGCCCAAGACCAUCCCACUGACUGAUUAAUUAAUCAAUCCACUUCCCCAGAUCAAGUGCAUCAAAAAACUAAAGAGAAGGAACAGAGAAGAACCAGAAAAAGCAAACAAACAAUAUAUGAACCAAGAAAAGCCACAUCUGAUGCUCUUUCAAUGGGCUUGGACUGGUGGGAAGAGUAGAUUCAAACAAGAAAAAAGCAACCAAUAUCUUCAAAUAAGGCAAAAUGAAACAGAGCUUCACAGUUCUUGCCCAGCCAAAGAAUCCCUCUUCCCUAAAACAAAACCUCACUCCAAAAAUCCUCUCUCCGUGAACUUUUCUUCCUAUGCAAGCCUCUCCCUAAAACCUCGAAUCCUCCCGCCCUCUGCCUCACACUGUUCUAAAACCUUCUCAACCAGAAGGAUCCCCAUACUUCCUACCUCACUGCACUCUAACCAACCUCUACAGCCCACAGCUCUCUCCGUGUGUUUUUUUUCAUUUUUUUUCUUCUUCUCCGGUCCCUCUAAGACCAGUUCUUUGCAGCAGCUUCUCCACUCUCUCUAUUUCCUUUCUAACAGCCAAAAAACUGCUCACUAAAGCUAGCUGUCCCCCUGUAGCCCACUACUAGUCUGCAGAAAAGUGCCCCCUCCAGGUGGCAAAAGGAAGCUGCUCACAAAGGGCCCGAAAAUAGCUUGAAACUAUAAAAGGGAAGAAUAGGAUGAGGUCACAUGUCCUCGUCCUAAGUCACGCUUUCAAAAGCCCUAAAAUCCUUGAAAAUGAACUCUAAAAAAACUAAUCUUAAAGGACCUUUAAUAAUUGUAUUGGGACCAAAAUAAUCUUGUAAUGAUCUCCAAAUUGUAAUUCAAAAAUCAAUAAUAAGCCAAAUAGGUAUAAAGUGAGAGGAAAAAUAAUAAUAAAAAUACAUGUAUUAUGAGGAAAAAAUUAAAGGAUAAACUUUAUUUUUUCUAAUUUAUGCCAAUAAAAAUUUAUAUACAUUAUAUAUAUAAGUUAUAAAUAUUUUCUAAUUCUAACCAUAAAAAACAAGAACUACAUCAUUAUUAAUUUAAUUUUUUUUUCACUCAAUUUUUCUACAAAUAAUCUACCAAUAAAAAAAUAUAUAUUUUAUUUUUCCUAACUUUUCCGUUUAUCCUACUUUUCAUCUUUAUCUUGGCCUUUUGUUCGUGACUUUUCCUCCUAACCGCGUUGAUAGUCGGUACAAUCAUUAUUAGUGAUGACUUAAAGACAGGAGACGGUGGAAGACCAGGAAGCAGAAGGGGUUGACUCUUGAGGAUUUGGAGUUUUACGGCCACGGUGGUGGGUGGUACUGAGCGGCAACUGCAGAUAAGGGACGGGGCUGCUUUAGCCUUGUAGUAGGUGAGUGUUGUUAUUCAAUUAUGCCUUCCUGUUGACCUGUAAUUUCAAUUUGUCAAGAGGUGAAAUAAAUUGGAACUAGUUUAUAAUCAUAGAGAUGUAGUUGGAUCCUGCAGGUUUAAUAUCUAUAUUUAAUUAAGAAACAAUGGUUUCUGAUCUGGAGGCUAGUCUUAAGAUUGAGUUAGCGAAGAGCCUGGCCAGCAGUUGGGAAGAAGUUGUAAAGAUAUACGAGCGAGAACAAAGAGCUCACAAGAUCAAGAUCAGCCAAUCGGGGAACACAGCAUUGCAUAUAGCAGUUUCAUGUGAGCAAGAAUACACAGUAGAACAACUAGUGAAAUCGAUUGCUAGGAAUGGGCAUCUAAGGGAUGUUCUAUCUAUAGAGAAUGGAGAUGGGAACAAUCCUCUCCAUUUGGCAGCCUCACUGGGAAGCAUUUCCAUGUGCAAAUGCAUCACUGAUGAGUGUAAAGAACUGUUGGGUCGCCGCAACGGAGAGGGUGAUACGCCCCUUUUAAGGGCAGUUCGCUAUGGCAAGAAAGAGGCUUUCCUCUGGUUGUACGGUAUGUGUGAAGGCAACACAGCCACUGGCUACUGUAAGAACGACGAUGGUAAAAACGUGCUCCAUCUUGCCAUUGAAGGAGGACACAUGGGUAAGCAAUAUUAGGGUGCUGUUCUUCAGUCUACAUGUUUUAUUUCUUAAUUAUAAUAUUAGGUUAAAUCAUGGUCUGUGGUGGACGGACAGAUUUGGCGUUUCAAAUUAUUCAAAAGGAGGAAGAUCUCAUGGACUCUUUUGACCGUGAAGGAAUCUCCCCUCUGCAUGUCCUAGCUGAGAAGCCUACUGCAUUCAGAAGCGGAAUUCAUUUCAGCUUGCUCAACAAAAUCAUGUAUCAUUGUAAGAUUCUCCCUACCAAUCGAAAAACUUGGGGCUGAAUUGAAUCCAGCGCGUGCAUCAUUUGUUAUCUUGUAUCUUAUAUCUCCAUCAAGGCCAUAAAUUUCUGACAGUUGCCCUUGUUAAUCAAAUUGGAAAGGUAUUUUUGUUGAAGAGCUCGUCCCAGGGGCUCCCAAAGCAAAGAGACAUCUUUCAAGACUACAGAGAUGAUUAAAUUACCAGUUGGGACUGAUCAUUUANNNNNNNNNNNNNNNNNNNNNNNNNNNNNNNNNNNNNNNNNNNNNNNNNNNNNNNNNNNNNNNNNNNNNNNNNNNNNNNNNNNNNNNNNNNNNNNNNNNNCUUUUGACCGUGAAGGAAUCUCCCCUCUGCAUGUCCUAGCUGAGAAGCCUACUGCAUUCAGAAGCGGAAUUCAUUUCAGCUUGCUCAACAAAAUCAUGUAUCAUUGUAAGAUUCUCCCUACCAAUCGAAAAACUUGGGGCUGAAUUGAAUCCAGCGCGUGCAUCAUUUGUUAUCUUGUAUCUUAUAUCUCCAUCAAGGCCAUAAAUUUCUGACAGUUGCCCUUGUUAAUCAAAUUGGAAGGUAUUUUUGUUGAAGAGCUCGUCCCAGGGGCUCCCAAAGCAAAGAAGAACAUCUUUCAAGAACUACAGAAGAUGAUUAAAUUACCAGGUGGGACUGAAUCAUUUAGAAGAAUUUUUUUCUUUUUGUGGCUUCCUGUUCACUUUCUUAAUGCUGCAACCAUAAUUCAUUGUCAAGGUAGUUAAUUAGUAUGAGACAGUAACAAAUAUGGUCAUAAUUCAUUGUCAAGGUAGUUAAUUACUAUGAGACAGUAACAAAUAUGGUCAUAAUUCAGCAUAAGAGAUGUCAAUCGAUCCCUCUUUCAGUGCUUUCUUGCUCAUGUGUGCUGUGACCAAUCUGUACCCCAAGUAACUAGUGGAAAAAAAUGCAGGAAAAUCUAAAAAGCACUUGGAUCAAGAGAAUCCUGAAGAAGGGCAAGGUAUUGAACUUCAUGGUGAGUGUUGGAUCUACUUGAUUUAGGCUAAAGCAAUCUUAAAAGCAACUUCAAGGAAACACUGAUUCCUACAACUUUGUAUAGGUCAUAAUUCAAGCAAUAUUGGAGCUCAAGGACACAUACCAUUCCUCUCAAAAUAUGGCAGAUGCCUGAGGUUCAUCAAGCUUCUUGUAUCCCAAGUACUGCUGGUUAUCAUCUCCGUGCUGCCAGGUAUAACACCAUAUUAAUCACCAUCCCAAAUUUCUCUUGUAUUAAUUUCCAAAACAAUAUAGGUUCAAAGUAUGUUCUUAUUUCUUUGUGGAUACAUGUUUAGGUUCAAGUCAGAUAAAGAAGCUAAAAGAGAAAAAGGAGAUGCAUGUGUGGUCUCUUCAGAUCAUGAACAAACUACUUGAACAUGCUGAGAGGCAUACAUAUAAAAUGAAUCCCAAAUAUGAUGAGCCAAGCCGACGUCAUCAUGAUUGUUGUAUUUCAGAGUAUGGAUACUUCCGAAGGGGAGGAGGUAGCCUCUAUGUCAACCCUGUUCAUUACAAAUAAACUUCUUGGUAUAUAUAUAUAUAUAUAUAUAGAAAGAUGCGGAGACAAGGUAACUGACCACCCUCUCCAAUAUCUUUAACCGAUAUUGAGGAGAGGCAGAUCCGGUGCAGAGUAAUCACAAUUCAAAUUCUUCAGAUUUUGACCAUUGCUAUCAGUCUGUCGGUCAAUUGGGCUUUCUCUUGUGGUAGAAGAAUGAAUUUUGUUUUCUUUGCAGCUUUGGAGACGCCAAUACUAGUUGCAUCAAAGAAUGGUAUCAUGGAAAUGGUAACGAAAAUCCUGGAACUGUUUCCUAUGGCCAUUUAUGACACCCACAAAGAAAAUUGGAAGAACAUAGUGCUGAUGGCAGUAGAGAAUAGGCAAUCACAUAUAUAUGACUUCUUACUCAACAGAAAGCAUCUUCUUGAUAGAGAAAUUGCAUUUCGUGCUGUUGAUAACCACAGAAAUACUGCAUUACACCUAGCUGGAAAGCUAGCAGGUUACCACCACCGCCAGCAUAUCCCCACCAGCAUGUUGCAAAUGCAGUGGGAAGUCAAGUGGUACCAGGUAUGCAAAACUCAAGCCAAGCUUUAAAUUAGCUUUCAAGAAAUGACUGUCAAUUGAUGAAUAAUAACUUAAAUUAUGCACUUGGUUCAAUGCAGUACGUGCAGAAUUCCGUGCGAUUUGAUAUUAAAAUAAAUCGGGAUGAAUGUACUCCAGAUGAGAUCUUCCAAGGAGAACAUGAAAAUCUUGAAGAUGAAAGCAAACGAUGGCUAAAUAGCACAUCCAAUUCCUGUUCUUUCAUUGCAGCACUCAUAGCAACUGUUGCCUUUGCCUCAUCAGCCUCUGUGCCUGGUGGAGUAAACCAAGACACAGGGGUACCAAUUCUUCUACACCAUCUGGCUUUCAGUAUUUUUUCAAUGUCAUCCCUACUUGCUCUUAGCUGUUCAAUGAUCUCCUUGCUAAUAUUCCUCGCCAUUUUCGUCUCCAAGGACCAAAACCAAGAUUUUACUAGAAACUUGCCGAGGAAAUUUUUGCUUGGUUUAACCUCUCUCUUCAUAUCCAUAGCGGCCAUGUUGACCUGUUUCUGCUCUGGGAACUUCUUGAUGCUUAAGCAUCAAUUAAAAUAUGCUGCAAUUCCGGUAUAUGCACUCACCGGCUUGGUAAUGGCAUACUUUGUUCUGAAGCACUUUCCAUUAUUUAUUGAUCUUAUGAAGGCUACAUUUCGUAAGGUGCCUGAGCGUAUAUACAAGGAGUAUCUGUAGAUUGCUUUCGAUCUGGGCGCAAGGAGGACCUUAUGCCAUGGUGAUGGCCAGAUCUGAUGAUGAUGUAAUUUUUCAGUUGUUUUGUGUCUUUCAAAUUUAUAUAUGACUGUAAUAUUCCUCCUGGAGUACAGAUUCUUAUCAAAUUGAUUGAUAACACGCAAACAAUGGUGACUUCGUUAAGCCUCCCAUUCUCCCCUUGCAUUCCCGUAAAGGCCUCCAAAGCUCUAUUCAUCUCUCCGUUUCUCAUAAACACCCAUCAAUCAUUGCUGUCCAACAAGCCGUAUCCUUACUCCCGACCAGACCAAAAACAGUACCAGCUCCCUCAACCAGAGUCCCUGAUCACUAUAGAGAGGAGAUCAGCACGGUGGACGCGAUAACAUCUUCAGGCAUUUCAUCAAACAUCCAACGUGCAUCCCCCGGUUCCCCUCAUUUUCCGUAAAACUCCAUCAUCCUCAACUUCACCAAACGGUUUGAGCAGGAGCCCAGCUUCAUAGGCCGGCCCGGCUGUGGAUCUCUUUCCCCUCCCUUAAAGCCGAUUGGGAGCCACAUGCUUUCAAAUUAGGAUUCGUAAAGGAAAAGUUAUUAAUAUAUACCCGUAUUCCUAUCUUAAUAAAAAUAUGAGAGACUAAUAAUAAAUCAAAAGGUUAUAUUAACGAGAAAAAUAUAAGGAUGAGAAAAAGCUUUAUCAAGUAAAAGGAUAAAAAUCAAAUAUAAUUAAAACUAGUUAAAAAUUUAUAUAUUUUUAAAUUAUUUAAUAUUUAUAUCAAUAAACUAAAAUAAUAAAAAUAAGUUUAAAAUAGUAAAUAAAAAUAAUUUAUCGACUUUUAACCUAUUUUUUAUUUUUCUUCACUUUUUAUUUCCUUCCACUUUUUUUUUUUUAUAUUUUAUUUUCUCAAUGUUUUUCCUCAAAUUUUUUGGAAACCAAACAUAACUUAUAGUCAAAUUGUUAAAAAAUAUUUAAUUUUACGACCUAAGUAUCAAUCAUUAUUCUCUAAAAUAAAAUAAAAAAUGAAGAUUACAAUAAAAUUUUCCUCCUCGUUUAACUCAAGAGUUUUUUUCUAUGUAAAGCUACUCAAUUUGUUUAAUACAUGAUAAUAGAACAAAAGUGGAGAACGUCAUUUUUGAUACUUGAAAAAUUAAAUAAUAAUAAAAAUUAAGAUAGAAUCAUAUAUAAUUAAAAUAACAUAAAUACGAAAAUUAUAAAUUUUAAUUUACAUAUAAUAGUAAUAAGAGUGAAGGAGCUUAAAGGCUAUGAGUUGAGUAUAGAUUGCAAGGGAUUGGUUGAUGUGUUUGAGUAUGUGCAACACAAAGAUUUUUUUUUUUGGAUACAUUAGAAUGAAUGUACCAAAUAUCGAUAAACUCAUAUAUCAUACUAUGAAGUAUUUAUUUAUAUUAUAAAACAAUUUUUCACGUUAUUACUAUCUUAUAAAUACAAACUAUGAAAAUAGAGAGAAGUUCCUUACUCCAUUUAUAGGAUAUCAUUUAAAUAAAUGGAAACCCAAGUUAAUACUAAAAUAUCGCGUUGAUGAAAGAUGGAAGCGGCUCAAGGUAUACUUUUGCUUUGUUUUUUGUUUUAUUUAUUUAUUUAGGUUUUAAUUUGUAUACAAAAAAUAAGAAUUAUUCACUUUUUUUAUUUCUAUUAUAACAUUGUUUAGGAGCAUUAGAUGAGGUAUACAUUAAGAUGAAUGUAAUAGAUAUCGAUAAACCCAUAUAUUGUAUUAUGAAGUAUUUAUUUAUAUUCUAAAAUAAUGCGUAUUUAUUUAUAUUCUAAAAUAAUGCAAUUAAAUUUCUUUGUUAGGUUAUUAGGUUAUCACUAAUGUUUUUAUCUAAUUUUAAAUGUCAUAAUAUAAAGUAACCUUCAUUUCUAUUAGCUUAGUGACAAAAAAAAGGUUAGAAUGCCAUGAAACAUAAAGAGAACUAAUAAUAAUAAUAAAACAGGUGAUCAGAAGGAAACUCCAUGACUCAAAUUUCAAUUCAAUAUCUAGUGGUCAUAAAGAUAGAACUCAUUGGCCAAACAACACAUUUGCUACUCAAACAAGUUGAUACCUUUGACGACACUGCAAAAUGGUAGCAUGUAUUGAACCAUCUUUUGACGACAAUAGGGGUUAAUGUAUAUAACAAUACCAAAUCCCAACAGGAUUAUUACGUAGAAUGCAACAAAACUAGCAUAAAAAAUGACAGGAUCCACAUCGUACCAUUUUAUUUCACUUUCAUCUGAUGGUGUUAAUGGCGAAUGUGACAACACUGCAACAAGGCUACAUAUUCUCUUUAAUAAUAACCCACAAAGAAAAGGAUUCCCAUCAUAGCUCUUCUUAUCAGAUGUAGAGAAUUGUGCUUUCUCCGCAACUCAACCUGACAAAUUAUUGUAAGCCAUAGUGAAUACUGCCAAAAAGUGCAUAUCAACCCGUGUUGAAGGAAUUUCUCCACUUAAAUUAUUGUAAGAGAGUUCUAGGCUUUCUAGUUGGAUCAGGUUGGAAAAACUACUUGGGACAGGCCCAGUUAAGCAGUUGUAAGACAAGGUCAAUGCUCGAGUCUGACCUAACCUUUCUAAGGUAAGGGGGAUUUCACUUGUUAGAUGAUAAAUCUAGUUCAACAUAAAAUUAAUUAUGCCUUCUUUGUAAGAGCUAGAUAACAAACUCGACUUCAACUUCUUUAUCCUCCAUUGGAAAUUAGUGUUGGAGAGGUUAUCAUCUCAGUAAUGCCAGGUAUAACACCAUAUUAAUCACCAUCCCAAGUUUCUCUAGUAUUAAUUUCCAAAACAAUAGAGGUUCAAUGCAAGUUCUUGUUUCUUUGUGGAUACAUGUUUAGGUUCAAGCCAGAUAAGAAAGCUAAAAGAGAAAAAAGAGAUGCACGUAUGGUCUCUUCAGAUCCUGAACAAACUACUUGAACGUGCUGCAAGGUGUAUAUAUGAAAUGAGUCCCAAAAAUGAUGAGGCAGUCCCACGUAAUUACGGUAUUCAUUACAAAUAAACUUCUUGAUGUGUAUAUAUAUAUAUAUAUAUAUAUAGAUAUAUAUAGAAAGCUGUGGAGACAAGGUAACCAACCACUUUCUCCAAUAUCUUUAACUGAUAUUAAGGAGAGUCAGAUCUGGUGCAGAGUAAUCACAACUCAAAUUCUUGAAAUUUUAACCACUGUUAUUAGAUGAUUGGUCCAUUGGGCUUUCUCUUGUAGUUGAAGAAUGAGUUUUCUUAUCUUUGUAGCUUGGGGGAUGACACCAAUACUAGUUGCAUCAAGGAAUGGCAUCGUGGAAAUGGUAGAAAAAAAUCCUGCAACUGUUUCCUAUGGCCAUUUAUGACACCGACAACAAUUCGAACAUAGUGCUGAAGGCAGUAGAGAAUAGGCAAUCACAUAUAUAUGACUUCUUACUCAACAGUAGUCUUCUUCUUGACAGAGAAGUUUCAUUUCACGCUGUUGAUCAUGACUGGAACAAUUUUGAAUGUCAUAAUACAUAGUAACCUUCAUUUCUUAGUAGUUAGAAUGCCAUGAAACAUAAAAGAACUAAUAAUAACAUUAAUUAAUAAAAUAGGUGAGAAGGAAACACCACUAUUCAAAUUUCAAGUCAUUAUCUAGUGGUCAUAAAGAUAGAACUUAUUGGCCAAAGCAACACAUUGGCUACUUACACAAACAAGCAGAUAACUUGUGGACGGUAUCAUUAGCAAAAUGGUAGCAUGUAUAUAUCCAGCGAGGGAUAUAUACAGCGUUCUCAAAGCCAGUGUUCUCAAACUCUUCAGGGUACCUAUCCAGCGAGGGAUCUCACCAGACAUGUGAUUAUUGCUGACAUCCAACAGCUCUAGCCAAGACAUUCUGGAGAUUACAUUUGACAGACUGCCAAUGAACUGGUUAUUGUUCACAAGCAGCCAAUGGGGAAAUCUCCUUGCUGAUUUGUUAUGAGAUAGAUCAACUAUUCUUAACUAGGAUUGGUGCCAAAGAAACCCAGGGAUAUGGCCACUUAGCUUAUUAAGAUUACACCCUGAUAAAACAAGGACCUUCAACUGAAACGACGGAACCCAACCCGGAAAUUCAGUUUCCACCUCUAAAUUGUCGUUAUUGUUGGCCAUUGAAACUACCUCUAGCUUGGAGAGAUUGGCUAACGAGCUGAACAAAAAUGAACCGUGAAACGAUUAUUACUUAGAUCCAUAAACUGAAGGCUUGUGAAGCUAGCUAUCAAGGAAGAAGAAAGAUUCGCAGUAAACAGGUUCCUAGAAAGAUCCAAGAAUCUCAGAGAUUUAUAUCAUUUUUAAGAUUGAAAUGAUAGAGAAUAGAUGGGUGUUUUUCAAGAGAACAAUCUUCUUCUCUUGUGUGUUGCAUGAACUCACCUUAAUUUCUAACACUUUUAAUUAGUUUUUAAAAAUAAUUAUCCUUUCAAGAUAAGUCUUCAAGAAUUAUUUUAUUUUAUAUUAAGACAAAAGAUGAAGUAAAUUCAUACACCUAAACUAGCGAGCUAGUCCUCUAAACGGAAUUGUUAGAGCCAAAAAAGAAAAAUGAGGAAUCCAAUGCUAGAUGUUUGUUUUAGCUAGGUACAUACCUUUAAUGGGUAAGGAGCUAUUGAGGUGAUUAGUUGACAAAGAUAAAGACUUGAGUGAAGCCAAGAUUCCAAUAGAUGGAGGAAUACUUCUAGUGAAAUCAUUCUUGCUCAUAUCUAUCAUCCCUAAAUGGCUGAAAGUUUUCAUGUCUGCAAAAAAGUUAAAUUUUAGAAUGAACAUAAAUAACAGACACUACUACAAAAAUUAUAAAUAACAACGCUCAAUUCCAUGACGCUUUUUAAAAGUGUCAAGGAAUUCAAGCAAUAAUGGCGCUUGUUCAAUAACGGCAUUUUUUAAAUAUUUAAGUUGGCGCUUGAAAUUUUUCCAUCAAUAUUGGCGCUUUACACAAUGAUGUUUUAAAAAGAUGGCAUUUUUUUUAAGUGUCGUUGUUGGGUUGGAUAUUAUGAACAACCUUAGUAGUGUUUUACAUAAGGAUGUUUUAAAAAAAUGGCGUUUUUUCUAAGCGUCAUUGUUAGGUUGGAUAUUAUGUAGUUAUAACAAGCGUCAUUAUCUCCUAUAUUAUAUAUAUAAACUCAUGUUUCCCUAUUUCUCAAACAUCCCAAACACCCUAAAUACCUCACCUCCUCUGAAAAACCUAACUUGUAUAAGAACGCUAAACCCAAAACCAUCCAUAAUUUGCUACCUUCAGCCAUCGAGAAACACAUUGGAGACCACCAACAAUCAAGGAACGACCUUCUUGGCUACUACCAACUGGCAGUCUUACCGGCGAUCGUUAGGAGUGCCUCACCAGAGACACCCAAAAAAAAUUUCACAUGCAUUUGGGGUCAUUGUAUUGGGUAACUUUCGCAUAAGGUAAAGAACAAUAAAUAAAAAGAAAAAGGAUUUGGUUCAUGUAUUUUCAAAUCUCGAACAUAGUUUUGUCUAUUACAGUUUCUGAUAUGUUACUCUGCUACUAGAAUCUUUGUAUUUCUAUUGGAAAGAUUGAGUUUUUGGUUUGUGUUCAGAGUGGUGCAAGAAAGCUCAAUGGAUGGAAAUGGGAAAGAAGGGGAAAUCUCGAUUGUGAAUAUUGGAGGUGGGAGUGUCUUUGUUUUGUAUUAGAAUAUUGGGGUUUCCUUGGUCUCUUCAAGAUAAAAGUAUUGUAGUGGUUUUGUAUUUUUGUAGGCCUGUUUUUGGUUAUGGAGAGUGGAUGACCCAACUAGAUCCGUAGAAAUUUUGUUUUUCAAAAGUAAAAUUUGAGGGUUUGAAUAUCUUGAGAUUUUAUUUGAGUUUAAUGUUUGUUUGGGUGUGUGCAGAUUUGACUUUGUUUUAGAUUUUAAAACCCAUUCAAGGCUUUGGUGAAAUGGGAUACUGAGAAGCAUGCUCUCAGUUCCUGAUUCGAAAGUGGAGUGCUUUGAUGGAAAAGUGGUUGUUUUGUGAGUGACUCUUCUCUGCAGAUUCAUAGCAUGAUAUUUAGUUUUCUCAGCUUUAAAAUUUUUUGGGUCUUCUAUUGUUUAUUGAUUUGGAUGGUUAAUGGUUAAUUUAUAUUUGGAAUUUAAUAAUAAAAUCUAGCUAUAAUAGAUGAUAGAACAAACUAAUCAUUAUUUUUUUUUAUAACAAAACCAAAAAACAUUAUACUUUAAUAAAGAAUAUGUAGUAUUCUUAUAUAUUAAUAAAUUUAAUUAUAUCUAUGUAAAUGAGUUCUUAAAAUUUUCAUUAUUAAAUAUCAUAAUUAAUUUCAAUAGUGAAUCAUUAAAUUGAUUCUCCUCAAUUUUUUAUAAUUUAUAAAGGAAAAACAGUAUAAUCUCUCUAAUAAAUUAAUAAUGAAUUAAGUAACUAUUUUUCAUUAUUUUGUUUAGGCAUUUGAAUAUAGUCAUUAAAAUGUUAUAUUUUUAUUAGUUAUUAAAAUGAGAUAAUGAAAAAUAAUUUUAUUUUAGGUGUAAUAUUUUUUAAAUAUUUAUCAUUUUAUUAUAUAGAAGACAAUGGAUCUUAAUUAUAAAAAAAUCGACUUAGUUUGAACAAUAGAAUAUUCAAACUUGAUCUAGGUGCCUUAGUGCCAUGACAUUGCAUAAAGUUGAAACAUUCACAUUAUUGAAAACCUUAAAUUUAUGGUAAAUUUUUUUGGUCCCAAAAUAUAUAUUUUAAGAUAUUAAAAUUUUAAUUUAUGGUUUAGUUUAAUAAUUUGAAAAGUGAUGACUUUCCAUUUAUGCAAAUUUAUUGAAUUACUGUGAGUACAUAAUAAGAUAAAUAGUAAGGCAAUUCUUUGAAGCAAUGCUUUGACCCUGAGUAGGUUAAGUAUUUUAGGAUGCUCACAAAUUCUUUCAAUUUUUUAACCUUGCUUAUUUGUAUGACAUUUAUUGAUUCUUUGACCUUGCUUUUCCUAUAAUAUUAGACUUAUCUUUACACUAUUAAAUUAGAUAUCACAGUACAUUCAAUAAGUAUUUAAUUAUAGUAAAAUUUUGGAGUACUAGUAUUAAAUUAAAGUUUUGUAUGUGAUCAUAUUUUCAUUUUUUAUACUUUAUAUAUAUAUAUAUAUAUAUAUAUAUAUAUAUAUAUAUAUAUAUAUCAUAUUCUUUAUAUCUUUAUUAUAUUCUUCGUAUAAUAUUUAUACCUAAUCAAUAAACAUAUUCAAAAAAAAUUGGACCCCCUAUAUUAAAAAAAGCUGAACCAUUGUUGUGAUAUUGUGAAUAAAAUUAACCUUCCCAUCUUAUCAUACUAGAAAAAAAUCAGUGAUAAUUCGUGGGGUGUCAUGGCCUUAGGAGUAAUAUAUUAUUGUUGGUAUAUGCUAUCUAAUUCCUUUUUAUGACAUCGGACUUCAAACAUUUAUUGACAAUAAAAGGCUCUACAAAUUGAAUUUUGGAAAGUUUUUAUUAUUGAUAUGAUAAUUGUAAAGGCCUAAGUACAGUAGAAAAUAUUAUUUUUAAAAUUUGACCUUUACACUUUAAUUAUAGUUGGAUUGUUACAAAAUUUUCAAAUUAAUUUAACUCUUUACAAAUGGUUGAAUUAUCCUCAUAUAAAACUUUUUAUUCAGCCCAUUUAUUAAUGGAACUCCCUUGUAAUUGUUACAGUCUUUACACAACAUUUUGCACCUUUAUAUUGAUAGGUUGAGAAAGGAGAAUUCUACAUCCUUAUUUAUCCAUAAAUUAAAUUUAUUUGUUUUUAAGCCUAUUGAAACAGAUGCAUUUGUGGUUAACCAAAGACACACUAAUAGUUAAUUAAUUAUUUUAUUUUAAACUUCAAAGAAGUGGUUAACUAUUGUUUUGGUUUAUUUGUUCAUAGUAAACAAAUAUACAUAAUACAAUUGGAUCCUCCAUAUUAUAAGUGGAUCAUUCUAUAUUUAGAAACUUCAAUAUUCUAAGAUAAGUUUUAGAUUUUUCUAACUCUUUUUUUAAUUGUAUAUAAUAGUAAAAACACCAUUUGAAAAAAAAAAAAUAUAUAUAUAUAUAUUUAUAUANNNNNNNNNNNNNNNNNNNNNNNNNNNNNNNNNNNNNNNNNNNNNNNNNNNNNNNNNNNNNNNNNNNNNNNNNNNNNNNNNNNNNNNNNNNNNNNNNNNNAGGAGAUGACGCUUUAGAGAAGUGUCAUCUUAUACCUUUAUUGACACUUAAAAAGCGUCAUUGAUUCUCUUUUAUCUUGUAGUGAGAGUUUAGCUAUUUUAGUUCAAAAAAUGCUACAAAUAAGUGUACAAACGGUUUUCUAAAAUUGUUACCCUCGUUGCUCUAAUAGAUUACAUGGAUACAAAAGGAUGCAUAAAAUUAUACACUAAUAUGGAAAUAUCAUACCAAAUUUAAUCCCCUUAUCAAAGUUGAAAAGAUGACAUUUGUACCUCCCCAAAUGAUUCACUAAAGUUUUAGAAAUGUGGGGGGAAUCAAAGAGUGAAACCAUGGAUCCAAUGGUGAGGGGAAAGAAAAUAAAAAUGUGGGAUCAAGUCCUUAUCAGCAUUUUAAGAGAAAAUGCCAACAUUAAGCUCUAUAAAUGGCGACACCUUAUAAGUGGUGCCUUUAUCAAGAAGGCUUCUGCUUGAAAAGGCACCAUAAAUGGUGCCACUCCCUUUUUGUCACCAUCGUGCCACCGUUUUAGGGAGCAACUAUAUGCUUCCUUCAAUUAUUUUCCUCCUUUUUUUUAUUAUUUAUCAAUCUUUCCUGAUUUUUCCCACUAGCAAAAUAAUAACCAAAUCCCGUGAAAAAGAUUGAUCUAUAAUGGGUUUAUAAUUCAAAAGAAAAAAAAAAUUAUUAUGGCUCAUAUGGAUAUCUCUAACUUGCUUAACCGACUUCAAAAUUAAGAUUGGUUGAAAUGGGGUUAUGUCAUUGAGGCAUGCAACUUUAAUCCUUUGGCUCUACUCUAACUUUGUUCUUGCCUCCCAAAUGUCUCGAAAACAAUUUGUAUUUAUUGAAACAACCCAAACAUCGAUGUUUGAAGGGAAAAUAUGUGAAUGUUGGGUGCAUGUGAGGUAGUGUUUAUUAGAGAAUUCAUUACAAUAGAUUUUCUUUCUAUUUUCAAAUUCUUGUAAUUAGUUGUAACUUCCUAUUUUUGUUGUAAUUCCCUAAUUCUAGGAUUGUUUUCUAUUUUUGUAUUUUGGGCUAAUUCUAGGAUUGUUUCCUACUUUUGUUGUAAUCCCCUAAUUUUAUGAUUGUUUCCUAUUUUUGUGUUUUAGGUUUUGUGUAUAUAUAUUCAUUUUUAAUCAAUGAAAAAGUCAAGUCAUUGUUUCUCAAUAAUCCUCUUUCUACUUCAACUUGUGUAAACUUGGUUAGCCAGGAAGUGCAUCUAAUGCCAAACUUGAAACUAAAUGUAAUUUUUAGCCCUCUUACCAUUUAGAUUAUGAAUUCAAUAAAGUGUUAUAGUAAUUUCCUUAGAUUUUCUUCAAGAAGUAAAAUAUUCAGGAUCUUCCUUCAUAAGUCUAAGAGGGUGAUUGAAUCCACUGAUGUGGUGAUUAAUGACAUAAGAAGUAAUAGAAAAGAGUUCUAAUCUAGUGAAUACAAAGUAAUAUUCCUAUGUAAUUUUCUUGAGUUCAUCUUAGGAUUAGGUCACUUAAUUCAACUCACUUGAGCCCUAAUUAAUUAAUUAACCCUAUUAGACACCAAUUAAUCAAUUAGUCAAAUCCAAAAAAUUAUUCAUAAACUUUUCUGCUAUCUUACAUAUUUACUAAAAUUACCUUAUACACAUGUGAAUAAAAAACCUAAAUGCCACUCAAUAAACGUGUCUUGAAGGAAAAAGAGCUCAAGCGAGGACCAGUGGUACCCAUACGAAAAUAUUGGCUAUCUCAAAAUCUAAUUUUAAAGUUGACUCAGCAUCCCUCUACAAAGAGUCAACUACACUCGAGUAUUCUAUAAUAUUAGAUUGAGAUAGAGUACUUGGGUCUAUGACUUAAUAGAAUUUGCAUGCAAGCUCCCCAUGAAUUGAUGCUUGUAAUCUAAUAAGAGAAUGUUAUCAACCUCUUAAGAUUAUCUAUAUCAUCAUUAAGUCUCAAAUCUUCAUAUUAUGUGAUUAACUAACAUACUAUAGCUCUCUAAAAGCUUAUGUUAAAUUCCAUGAAAAGAAUUACUACAACCAUUUAUUUCAUGAUCACAUGUCUUUAGGAUCAUCUAAGGGGACACGUUGUUUCAAACCUAUGAGAUAUCAUGGUGCUUAUCUUAAGAAUAACUAUCGUCACUUGCUUCAAUCAACAACAACCCAAUCCAUGGGGAAUAUAUGACAACCUUAGGGUCUCACCUAUAGGUCAAAGCCACUGAAAACCUCUACACUACCUCAAUAUUCUCUCAAGGUUGAGAGCUCAUGUAACAUAAUAGUUUGGUGAAUCAUGUCCACUCGAUAAAUAAUGUCAUGAUUUAUUUUAGGUCCUGUUCAAUGUGUAACCAUACACAUUUGUGCAUUCAUCAUGGGAAACCCAUCCCGAUGACUAAAAUAAUUCAUUCCUCCAAUUAUGAGGUAGUGUGCUAUAGUCUCAUAUAGAUUGCCUAAGUCCAUGAACAAACUGUGAACAACUCAUCAAUCUUGCAAGUAAUCUAUGACUUGGAUUUUCCAUGCAAUUCCUAAUGCACCUAAGUCAUAUACAAUGCAAAUGAUGCAAACUUGAAUGUUCAACAUAGAUAAUGCAUAAAUAUAGGAUAGUGAGUGGAGAAACAAAAUCAUAAUAUAAAUAUUAAAGAAUUUUAUUUAUUGUUAUAUUAUGUCAUACUUUUAAGGGCUUUAUCUCAACAGUACCUCCUCAAUCACAACAUUUGCAGUGUAAUUUUUAUUCUCAUCCCUAUUCAAUGCUCUACAAUUCUUCUUUAUGUGACCAAGCUUACCAAAAUUUUAACAUUUCACAUUUCACCAUUCUCUAGAUUUUCCUUUUCCAUUCUUUAAAUUCAAUCUAUUAUGGCCUCAGUUAGAACUAUUUUCAUAACUCCUACCCUUGGUCCCAACAUAUACGACAAAUUUUAAUGUUGUUACUUUACCCAAAUCUUUCCUACGAACUUCCUUAGCAAGAAUUCAAUUUCUGAUAUCAUUGAACUUUAAUUUCAAGUUCCCUAUAGAAUUACUGACUUUUGCUCUCACGAGCUCCCAACUAUUUGGUAGUGAGGUCAGAAGAAUAUUUAAGGCACAACUUCAUCAUCAAAAUUGAUUUCAACUAAGGACAAUUGAUUGACAAUCAUGUUAAAUUCAUUCAAAUGCUCUACCACCGGAGCACCUUAUCCCAUCUUCAAAAUAAAUCACUUUUUCAUGAGAUGUACCUUGUUAUUUGCAUAAGGCUUCUCAUACAUGUUAGAAAAGCCCUCCUUUAGUCCUUUUAUGGUUUUCUCCUUCGCCAUAUUAUGUGACACAUUCUUUGACAAUGUGUAGACCCCCUGAGUAGCGGCUAGUGGCAACAGAACCCGAGAAUGAGUUGGGGGUGGCAGCCAAAACAGGGCGGCCAUAGGACGAGAUGGGCAGGUUUUUUUACGGCGAGAUGGGACGGGAAGAAGGGGGAAAAAACAGAGCAAAAUGGGUGCGAGAGGUCCUGAGUCCAAGGAGGGAGAGGGGGUUCGGAAAAUUUGGAGUGCAUGAAAGAGAGGAUUGGUCAGAAAAAGCUAGGGCGGGCAUCCAGUGUGGUUUACAGGUAUGUUCACAUUUCACCAUACUUUUUGUUAUUCUGAGCAUCACUCCCACGCCCUUGUUGAUUUAGUUGAUGUUUUUUUUACUCAUGUCGUUGAUGUCUUCUCCAUUGCAUCAAUUUGGUUUGAAUAAUGGAUGAGGGUCUCUGUCAUAUUCAUUGUGCCAUCCAGAUAUGCAGGGUGUUGUUUUUUUGGUUUUGUGUUUUGGAACCCAUUCUCUUCUCCCCCAGCAUGAGCGUUAAGAACCAUGCAAGCAUGGCUGUAUCAUACCCAUCUCCUACCUCACCACCUCACCAUCUCACCACUCACACUUCUCAUCCCUUUUUCUCCCGUGCUCAUCCCUAUUUCAUCCACGUACCUUCCCCUCUUCAACGAGCGGAAAUUCACCCUUGCCUUUCGUGAGCUCCUCCGUAAUACCAGAAGCCUCGCCACAGUUGUAGCGGAUGACGAUGUCGCCUUCCGUAGCAGCAACAACAAACGCAGCCCCGCCGGCUUGGGUGCAGCCCCGCCGUUUUAGGCGCAUCAGGCGCCAGUUCCGCCGUCCUAGGCCCAACUCUAGAUGGCGCCGCCACCCUAGCAGCAGCAGUCGCGCCUUGAGGUCGCGAGCUGAUUCUCCCCGACGCCGGCACGCGGUUCGCCCCACAUUGCUCCGACCAGGUGGACAGCCGCGCCAGUCGUCGGCGACGGCAGCAACGUCUCUUGGUGCCGCUGGCGGUAGGAGCUCCCUCGGAGGGUGAUUUCCAGGCGGGAGGGGAAGCUAGGAAGAAGAUGAAUUUGGUUUGGGCUUGGGUUAAGGCUAGGCCCAAUUUUGUGUUUGGUUUUGGUUUUGGGCUCAGGCUUGAGUUGGGGGCACUAGGCCCAGGUUUGUGAUGGAUGUUUGCAUUGGGCUUGCUUAUGAAGGCUUUGGGCUUGGGUUUGAAUUUGGAGCCCAGGCUCAAGCCUAUGCUGAAGAUGGAGCCUUUGUCUUAAGCCCAUUUCUAUUAUUAUUAUUAUUAUUAUUAUUAUUAUUAUUAAUUAUUAUUAUUAUUCUUAUUAUUCUUAUUGUUAUUAUUAUUGUUACUAUUAUUAUUAUUAUUAUUGUUAAUUAUUAUUAUCAUUGUUAUUAUUAUUAUUAUUAUCAUUGUUAUUAUUAUCAUUGUUAUUAUUAUCAUUGUUAUUAUCAUUGUUAUUAUUAUUAUUAUUAUUAUUAUUAUUGUUAUUAUUGUUAUUAUUAUUGUUAUCAUUGUUACUAUUAUUACUAUUAUUAUUAUCAUUAUUCUAUUUAUUAUUAUUAUUAUUAUUAUCAUUAAUCCAAACUCUCAAAAUCUCAUUAUUAUUAUUAUUAACUCAACUUUCAAAAUCUAUUUAUUAUUAUCAUUAUUAUCAUCAUUAAUCAAAACUUCCAAAAAUCUAAUUAUUAUUAUUAUUAUUAACCCAACUUUCAAAAUCUAUUUAUUAUUAUUAUUAUCAUUAAUCCAAACUUCCAAAAAUCUCAUUAUUAUUAUUAUUAUUAACCCAACUUUCAAAAUCUAUUUAUUAUUAUUAUUUUCAUUAAUCCAAACUUUCAAAAAUCUCAUUAUUAUUAUCAUUAUUAACUCAACUUUCAAAGUCUAUUUAUUAUUAUUAUUAUCAUUAAUCAAAAUUUUCAAAAAUCUCAUUAUUAUUAUCAUUAUUAACUCAACUUUCAAAGUCUAUUUAUUAUUAUUAUUAUCAUCAUUAACAAACUUUCAAAAAUCUAUUUAUUAUUAUUAAUUCAAACUUUCAAAAACCACAUUACUAUUAUUAUUAUUAACCCAACUUUCAAAAUCUCAUUAUUAUCAUUAUUAUUAUUUCACACUUCCAACAUCUAUUUAUUAUUAUUAUUAUUAUUAUUAUUAUCAUUAAUCCAAACUCUCAAAAUCUCAUUAUUAUUAUUAUUAAUUCACACUUUCAAAAUCUUUUUAUUAUCAUUAUUAUUAAUUCAACUUUCAAAAUCCUACUAUUAUUAUUAUUAACCCAACUCUCAAAAUAUUAUUAUUAUCAUUAAUUCAACUUUUAAAACCUUAUUAUUAUUAUUACUAUUAUUAUUAUUAUUAUUAUUAUUAUUAAUUCGAUUCUCAAAAUCUUAUUAUUAUUAUUAUUAAUUCACACUUUCAAAAUAUUAUUAUUAUUAUUAUUAUUAUUAUCAUUAAUACAGACUUUCGAAAUAUUAUUAUUAUUAUUAUCAUUAAUUCAACUUUUAAAACCUUAUUAUUGUUAUUACUAUUAUUAUUAUUAUUAUUAAUUCGAUUCUCAAAAUCUUAUUAUCAUUAUUAUUAAUUCACACUUUCAAAAUAUUAUUAUUAUUAUUAUUAUUAUUAUUAUUAUUAUUAAUUCAGACUUUCGAAAUCUUAUUAUUAUUAUUAUUAUUAUUAUUAAUUCAAGCCCUCAAGACCUUAUUACUAUCAUUAUUAUAAAUUCAACUUUCAAGAGUCUAUGGUCUCGCAGUUCAAUUUCCUAAAGUCCGUUUCUCAUGUUCUUUAACAAAUUUCGAUCUAAUAAUCGGAGCUCUAAUCUUCAAAAUUUAAUUCCAAAUACUCCAAUUUUCAAAUAAGCUCCAAUAAUCCAGUUUUCACUCGAAUAGUUUUUAAUCACAUUUCAGUUCCUAAAUAAUUUUCUGAUCUUUUUUAUUUUACAUAAGCAAUAGUGAUUCCUUCAUAAUUCUAAAACAUGGGAUUUGUGAGAUUAGCUCAUGAACGAUAAAUCGGGCUUUGUUGGGGGCCCCAUGUUUGAUCCCUUUUUGACUGUCAAUUAUCGUGCUUAAUGUAUUUCGCUUGAGCUUCGUUUCGCACUCCGAUAUGCAUAGGCUAUAUUUUGUAUUCAUUAAUUGUGCACUAAUUCCGUUUCUUAAUAGCGCGUUGUUGUUUGCUGCCCAGGUACGCAUUCACUCAUUCUGAUCAUACACUGUACAUAUUCUGAUUCUCAUAUAUGCAUGAUUGAUGUGAGUAUCCAUUGACUUUCUUAUUCGAUUGCCACGUCAGUUUCACUUUAUUAGUAGAGACCCGACUUUAGGGACUUAGAGGGGUGCUACGGUCUCUACCGUACCUUCCCGAUAAGUAACCUGACCCCCGAACCCGAUCCGGUUUUUCACAGACCACCUUUUCCAAAACAAGGAGUCACACUUAGGGUUUUUCUUUCUUAUUUUGUUUACCCUUUAAAAAUAAAACAAAAAUAAGUGGUGAUUCCAAGUCAUUUUUUUUUUAACCAAAUAAAAUCAUUUUUCUAACAAAAAUCGAGCUCGCCAUCGAAUGGGAAACGCAUGAGCCGAAAUACGGGGUCCACACAAUGUUAAUUUGAUGACUCCCAACACUUGUCUAUCAAGGAGAUUUCAAUCAACUUUUAACAUUGAUUCUAAUUUCUAUCUAAGAAUGGGCAUAUGAAACUUUUUACCAUGAGAUAAUCUUUGAUUUACGUUAUCUAAAAUGCAAAAUCUACACCAUUGAACUUAUUGAUUCCAGGCCUAGAUCCAUUUUCUUUGGUCACUGCUCUCACUCAAAUUAGGCUCUGAUACCACUUGUUAGGAGAAAAUCCUUACUUAUGAGAGCAAUAACACAAAAAAAAAAAAAAAAAGACAAUAGAUAGAAAACAAACAAGAUUUAUAAUGGGUCACAGUCAAUGUAAGGGUUGCAUCCACUUUGCUGCUAUAGAAAUUCCACUAUGAUUAGAAAGAAAAAUAUAGUAUGAUCUUCGGCCUAAUACCACUCCUUUAUUUUCACACCCUUGUCCUAAUAAGGGUUAACCUAAUCCAUUAUAUAAUGAGAAAAUUAUGAUAAACUAAUACAUAUGUAGAAUACCUAAAAUACCCUUUAAAUAAAAAAUUAGGCUUCACGCAAUUUAACACAAAGAUCAAACUGUAACAAAGGUCAAAAGGUCAAAGCUUGAUGGCACAGUUACUUCUAAAUCAAUAAUAAUCACUAAUGGUUUUAUCUAAUUCUGAAUGUAACCUUCAUUUCUUUUAACUUAGUGAAAAAAAAUAUUUAAAUGCCAUGAAACAUGAAAGAAUUAAUCAUAAAAGUACUUUAUUAGUUUAUUUAUUUGAAUUUUAUUUAAAUAUAUUUAUACUUCUAUAAUAUUUUAAAAAUAAAAAUAAUUCUCCAUUAUAUUUUUAAUUAUAGGGAGAAUUGUGUUUUAGGCCCAACUGGCCUAAAAAUUAACAUUUGGUCCAUAUAACAUGCAUAUUUAAGCUCAAGACCCAAACGAAGUAUGAAAAUUAAGAUGAAGGAUAUUGUCCUUCAUUAAUUCCUAAAAUACCCUUAACCCUUACAUAGACACAAGUGAGUGUGAAUUUCAAUUUUUUUUGUGUUUUUUUCCCUUUUCUAUUCCCUAUUAAGUAUUACUCAUUUCUAAUCUUUUUUUUUUUCUUCCAAUCUAUAUUUCUAUUUUAUAUCAAAUAAAAAGUAAUAAUGUUUUUUUGUUUUUCAUUUUGAAAGAUAUUGAAUCUUUUUUCUCUUAUUAUACGCAAUGAUAAAAAUUUUGGGAUUUUUCAUCCAAAUAUUUUUUAUCUUUUUGUAUUUAUCUUUUAGUUUAAUUUUUCAUUUUUUAUUUUAAAUUUAUAUUACCCUUUCAUUUAUAUUUUUCUCUUAUUUUUAAUUAUUUUUUUAUAUUUUCUACAUUAACCAUAUUUUUAAAAAAAAUUAAAAUUGACUAUCACUUCACUCUAUUUUAUAUAUAUAUAUAUAUCCUUUUAGCUUUUUAAUUUUUAAUGUUUUUAUUUUAAAAUUUUUAAAAAAGAUAAAUUUAUUGAAAAAAAUAACUAAGAUAUGAAAUUCUAAUAUUAUAUUAAUAAUUUUUUUUAUCUAGAUAGACUAAUGCAAAGUAUUUUGAUUCACAACAAGAAAAUUGUCAAUACAAUUGUUUAGUAAAACUUUAGAAAUUAAAUUUCAAAUAAAAUAUAUUAUAUAAAAUUUUAUCUAAAAAUUAUUGAAAGUGGUAUUUAAUUUUUUUUAUUGACUUUCAAACUUAUCUAAUUUUUUACUUGAAAGGUAAUAGAACAUGUUUACAAAAAAUAUUAGUUUUUCAUUUUUUAAAUAAAUGAGUAUAAAUAUAUUAAAAGAAUUAAAGAUAAUCUUAGUAAAAAAUUUGAUAAAUAUGAUUAUAAUUUUAAAUAUAGAUUCAUUUGGAUAAAAUUUCACAAAAAAAAAAAAAAUAGUGGAAAGAAAAAACAUUGCUAAAACUACAAAAACAAAAUAUGCAAUUACAAAAAUUUGAUGAUGAAAUUUAAAAAUAAAAUUCAAAACAAUUCUUGAGUGAGAGAAUUUGAGUAGGGAAAAAAUCUUUGAGUGAAAAAAAAUGGGAAAGUUUCUCAAAAUCACUUGAAAUCCUUAACAAAAAGUAGUCUUGUACACCCUUGUACAAUUAGUAAAUUUAUCUCGUACAGUUAGGGUAAUACCCUUGUACAAUAACUCAAAUUUCAUACAUCAUCUCAUGAAUAUCUGACAAUAGGUCAAUUAACCAUAUUUGAAUUGGUUUGGUUUUAAAAGAGAAGAAAAAUUGUUGUAUGAUUUUGUUUUACAAUCAUCAUAAGUGAGGUACCUAUUCAAAUGACCAUAUACAAGUUAGAUAAAGUGUAUGAGAUGAAUGUAUGCUUAAUAAUGUGUGUAAGGAAUGUCAUUUAUCAUCGGUAAGGGGAAAUAAACAAACAAGUUUUUUAGAAUCACUUAAAAUCUUUCAUAAAUAAUAGUCUUGUACACCCUUGUACAGUUAGUAUAUUUGUCAUGUACACUUAGUGUAAAUACCUUGUACAGUGACUCAAAUAAAACUUUAUUUUAUAUUAUUUUCAAUGCAAAAUGUAAUUAAAAAUAAGACAAAGAAAUUACUUAAAAACUAUUAUUUAAGCCAAAUUUAUUUAUUUAUGUAUUUCCUUUUAUUUUUGGAAAUAAAGAAAAAAAAUAAAAAAUUUAUUUAACCAUAAGAAAUAUGAAUAUAAGAUCAGUUGGAAAAUUUCAAAUUUAUUUAUUUAUUUCAUUUUAUUUUUGGAAUUAAAGAAAUAAAAAAUAAAAAAUUUAUUUAAUCAUAAAAAUAUUGAUAUAAGAUAUGUUAAAAAAUAGAAAUAACCCCAAAUUUAUUUACUUAUUUUAUUUUAUUUAUUUAAAUUAGAAAGUAAUUUAUUUUAAUAGAUUAAAAUGUACACAAUUGAUUUAUUACUUUGUUAAUUAUGGAUAUAUUAAAAUUUUCUAUUAGACAAAAAAUAAAUAAAGAAAAUAAAAUUAAAAAGAGUAAUAAAUAUAUAUAAUUUAGUUAUUUAAUUAUUUUUCAUGUAAAAGAUAGUCCCACAAAAAACACAUAAUUGAUCAAUUUCUUUGUUUAAUUGUAAACAUAUUAUAUUUUUUUAUAUUAUUAAAUAACUAAUGGAAAAAAAUAAAAAUGGAUAAUCAAUGAAUGAAAUUUAAUUCUUUUUAUUAUAAUCAUAUAAAAAAAUAUUACUAAACAUGGUUUUCAAUUUUUAUUUUUAAAAAUAGUUUUCAUUUUUUAAUUAAAUGUUUUUUCAAAAAGAAAAUAUAAAAAAUAUAAAUCAUAUUACUAUUUUUUAGAAAGUAUUUUUUAAAAUAGUUUUUGAACAUAAUUUUUCUUUUUUUAUAAUUUAAAAUAGAAAAUAAUGCUGAUUUUCAAUUAUUUAUAUAAAAAAAUUUAAAAACAAUGAAAAAUCCAAAUUGUUAAAAUAGAAUUAUUAUAAUUGCAUGAAUAGUGGUCCAAUAAAGACAAAAAACUUAUGUGAAAGGUCAUUGGGUAUUUUAGUCCAUCACUAUUUUAUAUCCUUAAAAGGUAAUGUAUAGAAAUUUGAAGGAUAUAUUAGUCUUUUAACAUCUUAUAUCAUUUCCAUCAAUUAUGGAAGUUAUAUGGACCAAAUAUUAAUUUUUGAGUCCAGUUGGGCCCAAAACAGAAUUCUCAAUAAUUAUAUUUGUUAAUAUUAAAUAUAUUUGAUAAUUCUAAUUUUAAUUUAUUUAUUUUAAAAAUAAAAUACGUUUAGAAAUUAUAUAACAAAAAGAAAUUUGGACUUUGUUAUGAGUUUCUAAUAAGUGAGACAAUUUCACAAAGAAACAAAAGUUAUGGGUGAGUAACAGUUAUUUUUAUUUUUAUUUUUUUUUAUAAUUUUUUUUUUAAAUAAUAAUAAAACCAACUUAUCUAGUAUAAUUUUUAAAAUUAUUUUCAAAUUAAAAAUAAAAAGAUUAAUAAAAAAAAACCAUAACUAUUCAUUUACCGUGACUGGGAAGGAAAAAAAAAAUUAUGCAUGUGGAGUUGAUUUGGGUGAGAUUUGUGUAUCCCUCUUCAACUCUCAACCUGUCAGAAAGCUUAAAGAUUAGAGUAUGAGAUGUGCACAUGCCUAUGAAGGUGAAUUAAGCGCAUAUUUAUUAUAUUUAAAAGACUUAGAGUACAUUUGGAGUGCUCCUACAGACCACUUUUAGCAUAAAAAACGUUUUUUAAAAAUAAAAAUCAAGUGCUGAUCAAAAUUUUAAAAAUAUUUUUAAAAAUUAAAAAAUUACUUAUAGUGCUUUUUAAAGAUGUAUUUAGAAUUUGUUUAACAAUGAUUUAAAAUAAAUUUUUAACAUAAAAAACAUUUUAAAAAAAACAAGCAUUUAACAAAAUUUAAAAAAUACUUUUAAAAGAUUAAAAAAUCACUUACAAUAAUUCUUAAAAAAUACCUCAUAAGUGAUACUCUCAAAAACAUUUAUAAAGAAAAUAUUUUUAUUAAAAACACUUCAAAUAAAAUCACUAUUAAAUACAUUAUAACACAUAAUUAUUUCAAAAACAUUUUUAGAAAAAACACUUCCAUUAAAACUACUCUCUACACAAAAACUAUGAAACACUUAAAAAUUUCGUUCAAUUGCAAUGAUGGAGGCUGCUUGACCCCAAAAUAGGGUCUUUGGCUCAUGGUUCCUUGAGGUGUGAACGUGAUGGUUUGAAUUCAAAGUUGUCUUGUUAAAGAAAAUAUGGUGGAUUUAUUUAUUAGGGUGGUUGAGAUUUGAGACUUAUACAGUUUUUUAUUUUUUAUUUUUUUAUAUUUGUCUUUUAUUUAUUUUAUUUACUUUGAUGAUCCAGAAGAUGUCGGCUAGAAUUAAAUAUGGAAAAAGAAAAAUAAUUCCCAAAGGUGGGAAUGGGAUCUCCCAUGCAUGUUCCUUAUGUUACAAAGUUAGGUAUUGGCGAACUGAUGGUUAGGAAAUAAGUUGAUAAAGUUGACUAGGAAAAAAUCAUUCUCAAAGGUGGGAAUGAGAUCUUCAAUGUUUAGGGAUGAUAAUGAAACAGAUUUUUUUUUUUUUUUUUUUUGUAUCCACCUCAUCCUGCUCCUAAUGGGAUAAGUUUUAAUUUUAACUAAAUUGGUUUAAAUUUUUUUUUUUAAAACCCGGGGGCGGAUUCAAGACGAGUUUGGGUAUUGCUUUGUCCUGGCCCGUCUUGCCCCGCCCCGAUUAUAUAUAAAAUUAAAAUUUAAAAAUAAAUUUAAUUAAAUUUUACUAUUUUUAAUAUAUAGAUAAUAAUAAAAUAUUUUUAAUAAAAUAAGCUAUAAAAAAUAUAAUAAUUUAAUUAUUUAUAAAAUAUAUUUAUUUUAAUGUAAUUAAAAAGUUUAAAAGUAAUUUUUUUAAAAAAAAUUCAAAAAAAGUUAAAUGGGGUGAGAUAGGACAAGUUUAAUUUUUUAAAUGAGAUAAAAAUAAGAAUUAUUUUUACUAAAUGGGGGACGACCCAUCCCAAACCCAACCUAUUAUCAUCCCUAUACAUGUUCCUUAUAUUAUAAAGUUAGGUAUUGAGAAUUGAUGGUUAGGAAAUAAGUAGACAAAGGGCAGGAUAUGAAUAUUUAUUUGAAGGGAUCAGGAGACAAAAAGAAAUAAAAAAAAAACAAAACAAAACAAAAUAAUAGUUGACUUAGCGGUAAUUAUGAAUUGACUUACAGUAAAUCCCUUGGAAAGGGAUCAUAUCCUCAUUCUAGCCAAAUACUUGUUUUCAAAUGUCUGGAAACUGUAGUUUGAGGGUGUUAAUUUUAUACUUAAUUUUGUAGUUAGAUGUAGAUGCUUGUUAACAUGAGAAUAGCAUACAUUAAGCUCAUUUUAAUUAGGAUGAAAAAUGGGGACCACCCAUGUGCUCACCAAACCCUUCCUUUUCAUCCUCCAAUAUUUUGAAGUACUAGAAAAAUGCUAAAUCCGAACAUUUGAAUUAUCCUAAUUCUUCUUCCUAGUUCUCCAAGCUUUCCUUGAGUUUGAGGUGUCAAAAGUUUUGUCCAAUUCCUUCAAUUCUCGUUGUACUUCUCAUUUCACUUUGAUAUUCCUUUGAAACUUUUUACAUAUCAUUGUCAUAUAUGGUUGGAAUCCUACAACUAAGAACCCUAAGUUAACAAAUCCAUGUCAUUAUUUUAAUCAUAAUAAUAAUAAUAAUAAUAAUAAUAAUAAUAUGGAUUUGUUUAUAAGAGUGGUGGAGACAUGCCUUUUUUUUAUUUGCCCUUUUGACUUUGAGUUGGGAAAAUUUUCAUUUUCCCAUAAUUAGUGUUUGUUCAAUAAUUUUUCUUUCCCUUUUUUUACUUAAAAUAUAGAACAAAAGUAAAAAUAUUUAGUGUCAAAUUUGGAUAUGCUUACUACUUUUUAUUUUAAAAUAAAAAAUUUAUAUAUUAAAAUAAAAUAUUUUGUACAAAAAAAUAUAAUUUACUUUAUGUUUUCAAGAAUCAUUUUAAAAUUUGAGAUAAUAAGAAUAACACCUCAAGUUUUUUUAAACAUUUUAUAAAAAUUAUUAUGUUUUUUUUUUUUAAAGUUAACCUCUAAAAGUUUAUGUAUUUUAUAUAAAAGUUAUUACUAUUUUAUGAUUUUAAAAACAAAAAAUAAGAAUGAUGUCCAAUAAGACUGUUUAUAAUUUAAUUUUUUACUCAACUUUUCUAUCAAUAAUCUAAUAAUAAAGCAAAUUUCUAGGUUAUGCUUUCAUCCUACUUUCCCUUCUUUAUUUUCUUUCUAACAAACUUUAGACAUGCAAUUAUUACCUAAAAGAGUACUUUUUAAAAAAAAUGAAUAAAAGGGCUCAUCACUUGAUUAAUCACACAACCUGCGGCCUCAAAUACAAAACCUUUGUUCCUCUCUUUUCCUCCUAACCCUAUUGUUAGUUGUUACUAAGAUCAUAAGUAAUAAUACUAUCUGUAAUAGGGAUAUUAGUGUAUUUUGAAAAUUUUAAAUUACAUAAAUUGAAUUUAGAGAUAUUUAUGUAUUUUAGAAAUUAAAAUAAAAAUAAAAAAUAAAAAAUAAAAAAUAAGUAAGAUAUUUUUGGUCCCCACCAUAUUAUCCAAAAUUGAAAAGACAAAAUAGAGAGCAAAAAAAAGGGUCUUUAUAGAACUUUGAUUGGAAGGGUAAGAGAGGAGAGACUUUUAGUAUUUGUUUGGUUCUACAAUUUAAAGAUGUGAAUUAAUUUUUUCAAGAAUUUGAAUUGCUUCUUCCAUGUAAGGGUUAAUUAUAUAGUGAGUUAGUGUUUAUACCUCUUUAUUUGUUUUCAUCUAUUUAUUAAAAUAUCAAAGUAUUUAAAUUCCAUAGAGUGGAUCAAGUAAUAUUUUUCUAAAUAUGCUAUGAUUUGUCAUUUUGUUUAUAAAAUAAAUUGAGAAUAUCAUAUGAUUUGUUUGAUUAUUAUGCAAAUGAUUUUAACCUUCUUCGAGGUAAAGGUUAAUAAUGUAGUGAGUUAGUUUAUGUCUCUUUAUUUGUUUUCAUCUAUUUAUUAAAAUAUCAAAAUAAUUAAAUCCAUAAAGUGGAUCAAGUAAUAUUUUUUUGAAAUAUACUUUAAUUUGUUCCUUUGUUUAUAAAAUAAAUUGUAAAUAUUAUAUGAUUUGUUUAAUUAUUAUGCAAGUGAAGUUUAUCUUUUCAAUUAAUUAGAGUGAUUUUGGAAAUACAGGUUAUCAAUAGCCCUAGUCAAUAAGGAUAAAUGGUUGACCUUUAUUAUCUUUGAUGGGAUAAAUUGUUGACCUUUAUUAUCCUUGGUGGAGUAGUGAUGUAAUGUAGCCNNNNNNNNNNNNNNNNNNNNNNNNNNNNNNNNNNNNNNNNNNNNNNNNNNNNNNNNNNNNNNNNNNNNNNNNNNNNNNNNNNNNNNNNNNNNNNNNNNNNNNNNNNNNNNNNNNNNNNNNNNNNNNNNNNNNNNNNNNNNNNNNNNNNNNNNNNNNNNNNNNNNNNNNNNNNNNNNNNNNNNNNNNNNNNNNNNNNNNNNNNNNNNNNNNNNNNNNNNNNNNNNNNNNNNNNNNAAAUAUUAAGCGUUGCAUCCUAUACUUCUAAUGGAGGGGACAAUGGCUUCUACAAGUGAUGCGGAUGCAUCUGAUCUGGAGAGCAUUAGGCGAAAGUUGAUGAAGAGCUUGGCCAGCAGUUGGGAAGAAGUUGUACAGAUAUACGAGCAAGAUCCAAGAGCUCACAAGAUCGAGAUCGGCCCAUCAAGGAACACAGCAUUGCAUAUAGCAGUUUCAAGUGGGCGAGAAGGCAUAGUAGAACGACUAGUGAAGUCGAUUGCGAAGAAUGGUAACCCCGUGGAUGUUCUAUCUAUAAGGAAUAGAGAUGGGAACAAUCCUCUUCAUUUGGGGGCCUCACUGGGAAGCAUUUCCAUGUGCAGAUGCAUCACUGAUGAGUGUAAAGAACUGUUGGGUUACCGCAACCGAGAGAGAGAUACGCCCCUUUUAAGGGCAGCUCGCUAUGGCAAAAAAGAUGUUUUCCUCUGGUUGUAUGAUAUGUGUGAAGGCAACGCACCCCAUGACUACUGCCAGAACCGAUUUGGUGAAACCAUUCUCCAUCUUGCCAUUGAAGGAGGAUACAUGGGUAAGCAAUAUUAGAGUGCUAUUCUUCAGUUUACAUGUUCUAUUUCUUAAUAGUAAUAUAAAUCAUAGGCAUGAAAGUAGUCAGUUGUAAUGAACCUCUAUUAGGUGCGUACGCCUCUUUGGUUGGGUGCCUCCAAAGAAGACAAUAAAUUUGGUUGAUUCAUGGUUGUGGUGGACAGAUUUGGCGUUUCAAAUUAUUUGUAAGCAGGAAGAUCUCAUGGAUUCUGUUGACUGGCAUCAAAUCUCCCCUCUGCAUGUCCUAGCUGAGAAGCCUACUGCAUUCAGAAGUGGAAUUCAUCUCGGCUGGUUCAACAAAAUCAUUUAUCACUGUAAGAUUCUCCAAACCAAACCAAACCAAAAUGUUUGCAAGUAUCAAACAGAGAUUGAUGCAUGGGGCUGAAUUGAAUCUAGUGCAUGCAUCAUUUGUUAUCUUGUAUCUGAUAUCUCCAUCAAGGCCAUAAAUUUCUGACAGUUCCCCUUGUUAAUCAAAUUGGAAGGUAUUUCUGUUGAAGAGCUCAUCCCUGCAGGGACUUCCAAAGCAAAGAAGAGCUUCUUUCAAGAGCUACGGAAGCUGAUUAAAUUACCAGGUGGGAGCAGGGAUCGGUAGCUUAAUCAUUUGGAAGAAAACAUUCUUGUAGCCACUGACCGCUUUCUUGAUGUUGCAACCAUAAUUUGUUGUUAUGGUAGUUAAUCAGUAUGAGACAGUAACAAAUUAAUAUGGUUCACUUGCAAAAGGAAUAGAAGCAUUUCAGCAUAGGAGAUCUCAAUCCCUCUUUUAAUAUAUUCUUGCUCAUGUGUGCUGUGACCAAGCUUAUACCUCAAGUAACUAGUGGAAAAAAAAAAUGCAGGAAAAAUUCUAAAAAGCACUUGGGAUCCAGAGAAUUCCUGAAGAAGGGCAAGGAAUUGAACAUCAUGGUGAGUGUGGGAUCUACUUGAUUUAAGCUAAAGCACUCUUAAAAGCAACUUCAAGUAAACAGUACUGAUUUCUUUACCUUUGUAUAGGUCAUAAUUCAAGGAAUAUUGGAGCUCAAGGACACAAACCAUUCCACUCGAAAUAUGGCAGAUGCCUGAGGUUCAUCAAGCUUUUUGUAUCCCAAGUACUGCUGGUUAUCAUCUCAGUGAUGCCAGGUAUAACACCAUAUUAAUCACCAUCCCAAGUUUCUCUAGUGUUAAUUUCCAAAACAAUAGAGGUUCAAUGUACGUUCUUGUUUCAUUGUGGAUACAUGUUUAGGUUCAAGCCAGAUAAGGAAGCUAAAAGAGAAAAAAGAGAUGCACAUGUGGUCUCUUCAGAUCCUGAACAAACUACUUGAAUGUGGUGCAAGGUGUACAUAUGAAAUGAAUCCCGAAACAUACUUCAAAAGGGGAAGAGGUAACCUCUAUGUAAACCCUGUUUUCAUUACAAAUAAACUUCUUGGUGUGUAUAUAUAUAUAAAAAGAUGUGGAGACAAGGUAACCAACCACUUUCUCCAAUAUCUUUAACUGAUAUUCAGGAGAGGCAGAUCUGGUGCAGAGCAAUCACAACUCAAAUUCUUGAAAUUUUAACCACUGUUAUUAGAUGAUUGGUCCAUUGGGCUUUCUCUUGUAGUUGAAGAAUGAGUUUUCUUAUCUUUGUAGAUUGGGGGACGACAGCAAUAGUACUUGCGAAUGGUAUCGUGGAAAUGGUAGAGAAAAUCCUGCAACUGUUUCCUAUGGCCAUUCAUGACACCAGCGACUUUAAUCAGAACAUAGUGCUGGCGGCAGUAGAGAAUAGGCAAUCACAUAUAUAUGACUUCUUACUCAACAGUAGUCAUCUUAUUGAUAAAGAAGGUGCAUUUCAAGCUGUUGAUUGUAACGGGAACAAUGCAUUGCAUCUAGCUGGAAAGCUUGCAGGUGAUGGCUACCUCCAGCGUAUCCCCACCAGCAUGUUGCAAAUGCAGUGGGAAGUCAAGUGGUACCAGGUAUGCAAAACUCAAGCUAAGAUUUAAAUUAGCUUAUGAGAAAUGACUCAAACCGAUGAAUAAUAACUUAAAAAGUAUGCACUUGGUUCAAUGCAGUAUGUGCAGAAUUCCUUGCCACCACAUUUUGUUGUUCAAAAAAAUUGGGACGAACCAUCACGUACCCCAGAUGAGAUCUUCCAAAUACAACAUCACGAACUUGAAGACAAAAGCAAACAAUGGCUAAAUAGCACCUCCAAUUCCUGCUCUUUCAUUGCAGCACUUAUAGCAACUGUUGCCUUUGCCUCAUCAGCCUCUGUACCUGGAGGGGUAAAGCAAGACACUGGGGAACCAGUUUUUGAAAACCAUCCGGCUUUCAGUAUUUUUGCAAUGGCAUCGCUAGUUGCUCUUUGCUGUUCAGUGAUCUCCUUGCUAAUAUUCCUCGCCAUUUUCAUCUCCAAGGACCAAGACAAGGAUUUUACUACGAACUUGCCAAGGAAUAUUUUAUUUGGUUUAACAUCUCUCUUUAUAUCCAUGGCAGCCAUGCUGACCUGUUUCUGCUCGGGAAACUUCUUGAUGCUUAAGGGCCAACUAAAAUAUGCUGCAAUUCUGGUAUAUGCACUCACCGGCCUGCUAAUGGCGUACUUUGUUCUCAAGCACUUUCCAUUAUUUAUUGAUCUUCUGAAGGCUACAUUUCGUAAGGUGCCUGAGCGUAUAUACAAGGAGUAUCUGUAGAUUGCUUUGGUCUGGGCUCAAGGAGGACCUUAUGCCAUGGUGAUGAUGGCCAGAUCUGAUGAUGAUGUAAUUUUUCAGUUGUUUUGUGUCUUUCAAAUAUAUAUAUAUUCCACUAAACUCCUCCAAAACUCUAUUCAUCUCUCCAUGUCUCAUAUACCCAUCAAUUAUUGCUGUCCAAAAAACCAUAUCUGACCCGACUAAAAACAGCACCAGCUUCCUCAACCAGUCUCUGAUCACUAUAAGAGCAGAUCAUCACGGUGAACGCGAUAACGUCUUCAGGCACUUCAUCAAACAUCCGACGUGCAUCCCCUGAUUCCCCUCAUUUUCCGUGUAACUCCAUCAUCCUCAACUUCACAAAACGUUUGACCUGGACCCCAGCUUCAUAGCCCUUCUGUGGAUCUCUUUCCCCUCCCUUAAAGCCGAUUGGGAUCCACGUGCUUUCAAAAUGGAGGCCAUUAAGUAAUUAUCAGGCAGAAUUGACUCAUGGAGCAUUCUGGAAUGCAGCCGAAUGCCACAAAGAUGGCUUGCUUCCUGAUGAAGCAAAGCCAUCAAUGACAGAAGUAUAUGGAUAGACAGUUGGGUUGUGACUACUGAAAAAUCAAAAUCCUAGAGGCCCAGAGAAUCCAGUGAAUGGCGUGGCAUUUGGAUCUGGUAGAGAAAAUAUCAAAUUAAUAUUAUUAAAGUUCUAAAUUUUCAGACAAUAAUAAUAAAUAAUGGUUACAUUAAAGAGAAAAAAAAUAAGGAUUAAAAAAAGCUUGACCGAGUCACAAGAAACUACUUAAUUUAUUUAAUACAUAAUAAUAAAAGAAAAGUGGAGAACAUGAUUCUUUCGUACUAAAAUAAAUAAUAAAUAAUAAAAAAUGAGAUGAGAUCAUAUAUAAUUAAAAUAAUAUAUGAUAAUUAUAAAUAUUAAUUUAAAUAUAAUUGUAAUAAGAGGGAAGUAGCUCAAAGACUAUGAAGGGGUCCUGGGAAUGACCAUUUAUGAGGAGUUGAGUAUGGAUUAGGAGGACUUGGUUGAUGUGUUUGGAUUUGUGCAAUAGAGAGAUUAUUUGUUUUGGAUGUAUUAGGAUGAAUGUACCAUAUAUCAAUAAGCAUAUAUAUCAUACUUUGAAGUAUUUAUCUAUAAUAUAAAACAAUGCAUUUAUUUAUUUAUUUAUUUUUUAGGUUAUUACUAUCUUAUAAAUGCAAACUAUGCAAACUAUUUAUAGGAUAUCAUUUAAAUAAAUAUAAUCCCAAAUUAAUGCUAAAAUAUUACAUUGAUGAAGAGUGGAAGUGGCUCAAAGUAUACUUUUGUUUUGUUUUAUUUAUUUAUUUAGGUUUUAAUUUGUAUAUAAAAAAAUAACAAUUAUUCAAUUUUUUUUUUACAACAUUGUUUAGGAGCGUUAGAUGAGACAUUCAUUAUGAAGAAUGUACUAGAUACUAAACGCAUAUAUAUUGUAUUAUGAAGUAUUUAUUUGUAUUAUUACAUAAUAUAAUUAAAUUUCUUUGUUAGGUUAUUACUACCUUGUAGAUAUGGACUAUGCAAAUAAUGAGAAAUUCCUUACUCCAUUUAUAGGAUAUCAUUUAAAUAAAUAGAGGGGCAAAAUGAUAGAAGUGUAUAUUUCAUUCCAUUUCCUCCAUGAUUAGGAAACACUUGAAAGGUAACCAACUUCAUUCUGAUUUUGUUUCCUAUAUGUUAUAAGUCACUUCAAUAGAAUUCGUGAUUUUGAUUAUCUUCUCUUUUCUUUCCUUAUCAGCUGGUUCUCUUUCCUAUGAUUUUAUUUAUAUAGAACUAGUAAACACGCUCUAAGGAUCAAAUUAGAACAAAGAUUAGAGAUAGUUAUGAUACUUUUUUUUUCUUUAAACAUCAAACAGGAACAAAGGACGUCAAAGUUUUGGAGCACGCACAAUCAAUUCUACAUCAAUAAUAAUCACUAAUGUUUUUAUCUAAUUUUGAAUGUCAUAAUACAAAGUAACCUUCAUUUCUAUCAACUUGGUGAAAAAAAAAACAUUAGAAUGCCAUGAAAAAUAAAAGAACUAAUAAUAAUAUUAACUAAUAAAACAGGUGAGAAGGAAACACCAUUAUUUAGAUUUGAAGUCAUUAUCCAGUGGUCAUAAAGAUAGAACUCCGUACCACUGAAGGAUUUAGUCGCACACUUGAAAGAUAGCCAAGAAAGUCAAGGGAAUGCUUGGAUAAUUGGUUUAUAUGAAUCUUUAUUGGUUGAGACCACAUGUAAAAAUGACAUUGCCAGAAAUUGACAAGGUAAUAUUUCCAUUUAUUCAUCAGAAGAGGCGCCCCUUUUGAAGCCAUAAUGGAUUUUCCUUGAUACUUAACAUAAUGCAUGAAAGGAUUCUUGAACAACCAUAAGAUUGUCUGAAAAUCAUUAGCAAAGACUUCGACAAAAUGCUCUAUUUUUCCAUAGAAAAAUAUUCGCCCAAGAAGGGCUCCAUAAGAUGUUGAUCGUAAAUGAUAAGAUUGAUUGCAG
Molecule: long non-coding RNA, 47250 nt
Filed under: Vitis vinifera (wine grape)
Lineage: Eukaryota; Viridiplantae; Streptophyta; Magnoliopsida; Vitales; Vitaceae
Description: long non-coding RNA (VVIN_LNC007467)
Source: RNAcentral